AAUAUCGUCGCAAAAAUAGCAGAUUGAAAUAAAUAAUUAUAAUAAGACAAGGAAAAUAUUUUCAGGACAGAAACACAAGAAUGUAAUUCCGACUCACCUUCGUUAGCAUUCGUUUUGCUAGAAUGUGGUAGUGCCGCUGCCAAAUCCUUUGUCCAACCAUGGUUGCCACCAACACGUUGUAGAAUAUACCGAUUACAGUAAAUAGUCCCAACACAAUUAAAGCCAUUAUGAAUAAUAGGGGUAACCCAGCUUCGCCAGCACUUCCCAGGCAACCGCAUUCACCAGCUGCACUAGCACAGCUUUCAAAGCACGUGGUACAGUCGGUCCACAUACAAAGAGUGCCAUGCAAAUGGCAAUCAGCACACAUUCUGCAAGAAUGACAUUAUAUCAGCACGACAACUGACAAUACCGUCGCGAUGGCUACCGCUUCACUUGUAAUACAAUACAUUAUACACAUUUGCCUCCUAUUUUAUCAGCACGACAACCGACAAUACCUCCACAACUUGUACCAUAUAGUGUAACACCACCAUCGUAGACCAUCUUUAACCUCACUAAUAACAUUCAUUGUGUGACACAACCAAUACUUGUCUCACUACUUGGAAUAUUUAUUGUUUUACUAUAUCGCCGCUGCCACUAACGCUGCCACCACUUGUAACAUCGUGUUACGCCACCCACUACCAUUGCCAUCAUGUGUACCACUCUACCAUCUUUACACCACCACCAGCCACUAGCCUCCCCCACCAAAUCUGAAAUCACAAAAAUACCACAACUAACAACCAUCUUCCCAAACCACCAUCACUACUAUUAGAAACCAGAGCAAAAGGCAACUCUUUUUUGACUUGUGAGCCCCUCUCAUAACUAUCUCCAACAUGGACAUUAUAUAAAUCACUAUAUUAAAAAACCACUAAAAAUCUGGAAAAAAUUUCAAAGAAAUCAAAUUUGGGGCAACGUCGAUAUCGAGGUAAAGCAAUUUAGGGAUUCAGGUUAUAGUGGUGGCAGAACGAAAAGGAAAUGAGACUGUUAGAUAUACAUGCAAGAAGUGCCUUAUUCAAUGCAUACUGUCAAAUACUCUUAACAAUAUUCAAUAAUACUCACUGUACCUCGAUGUGAGAUGUUCUCUCAAUAUAUAGAACCAAAUCAAAACUAAAUAUGAAACUAUCAAUUACAAUAUUCAUUAAUGGUAACCUACUAAAUAUAAAGAUUGAUGCUUUGUAUUCUUUCCUUAUAUUUCACUUACAUUCGCCUCAAAUUGAUGUUGGUAAAAGCAUCAAUUUGCAAUUAUGAACAGGCGACGAUAACAAUACUUGUGCCUAUGAAGAAGAAAUUCAAACCAGAGCAACCAUCUACGAAAAAUAAUAAUGACAAGAGACCAAGAACAACAAAUAGUGCUGAAACAACCAAGAACUACUCCAAAACCAAUCCAAUAACACUCCAAAGCCACUCUAGAGAGCUCACGCUCCAAGAAAAAUUUUCAAAAGAAAUUCACAAAGUGUGCCGACACACAUAGGGAGCUUUAUCUGUCAGGAGACCUCAGCACAACACAUAACUCGUAUUCCGAUAAAAGCUCUAACCCCAAUACACCAGCCAAAAUUUCAACAAUAUAUUGCUGAUCAAGUUGGAAGAAAUUUCACAAUAUAGGAUACACUAAAAAACUAAGAUGACCAUCUUCUGAGAAUCCAAAAACCAACCAAGGUUGAUUUUCCUCCGAGAAUCCAAAACUCUAGCUCACCAUCCAAGCAACCAAAACUCAAAGGUUUGCACUUCUAUGUCCCUUUCUCUUCCCUAACCCAAAAACUUCUUUUUUUUUCUUUUUUUUUUUUUUUUUGUAAAUCCAAAAUAACAAGCCCAUAAUUCCCCACAUUGCUAGGCAAGUUUUGUGCAUCAAUCUCCUUAUUAUACCCGAACAAGCCCUAGCCCAAAACUCUAAAAAGGGGGGAGGGGGAGAUCACAUAUAAGGUGUUAUGUUUACCUCAAUUUAAAAAUCAAGUAAAUAGUUUGAAAAUUCAAAAAUCAGGUAUGCAUUUGAUUAAUUAAAAAUAUUUACUAAAUAAAUAUAAUAAACUCAUAGUUACAUGAUUAAUGGUCACAGAUUAAUAAUUAUAGAUCAUAGUUUUAUUUAUUGAUCACAUAUUGUCAAAUUAAUUGAUCAUAGAUUAUUUCGCAGUCACAAAUCAAAAAUUUUGUAGGUCACAUAUUAUUUCGAGAUCACAAAUCAUUUAAAUUACAGGUUACAUUUUGGCUAUGGGUCACAUAGAUCACAUUUUAUUGGUCACAAAUUAUUUUUUAGUCACAGGCACCUAAUAUUUGGUCACAUAUGUCUAAAUAGAUGGUCACAGAGCCUAAUUAUUGGUCACAAACAUCUAAUUGUUGGUCACAGACACCCCAUUCGUCUCCAUCAUCACCACAGUGCAUCAUCGUCAACUACGACACCAUCGCAUGUACAGCACCACAGCCACCAACUCACUCAGCCAUAUUGCCACACUACACCACACCGCCACCACACCAUACAAUACCACCAAAUUGAACUCGCCAAACUACACCACACCGCUCACAAUGAGCGUUGCACCGCUGCAGCGAAAAAAACCUAACAUUGAACUUACAGGUACCGCAAUCUGAAGUUGUGAUUGCAGCGGUCAUUGUCGCAUUGUCAUCACCGUUGCAGCGACAAGACCUGAAACUAUUAUAGCACCAUCAUCUACAGCGGUCGAGUACCAGUAACUUCAUCUUGGCAUCCCCACCUAAAAAAUCUUUAAAGUAGCAGCUACGCACACCAAAAAAAUCACCAUUGCUACAGCAUCGGAGCUCACGCUGUGAGCAGCGCAACCCAAAAUUGGCAUCACCAUGGCUACAGGGCUCAAAUUGUCACGACGAUCUGGAAGCGGUGCUUAUAUCAGGUCUGCCCGGCACUGUUGCAUUGCACAAAACAAAUGCCGGAGAGAAGAUGGCUGCUGUCACUAUGUGUGUUUAGAGAGAAAAGAGAGAGACGGGAAAUGGGUUUGAAAUGUACUCACAGGUGAGGGGACCCAUGAUUUUUUAUUCAGCGUGGGCUCCCUUCCUAUGUGUCUAAUUAUCAACCGGGGUUGUACACAUAGCACAACUGAUCAUGUGCCUCUAUUGUAACCACGGUCACCACAAUAUCCCCGAUCGCCACCACCAUCUUAUCCAUGGUCACGCUUCCACCAUAUCCGUUACCAUCCUCACGACGACCAGAGUGGAAUCCACCACCUCCGUCGUGGAGACACAAUACCGAGAGAUCAAAAUUGGCCACAGUAGCCUUUUCAGCUUCGAUUUCUGUCUUUCCAUACUCCUACUUCUUACUAAUCCUCACCUCACCGCCCAUUUUUUGCACAAUCAACUGCAGUCGACUCAACAUAGUCCAUGAACCAGCUAGAAAACAAGGCGCAUCCAUUGCGGGGACGCUGUGUGGCCCAUAGGAAAAAUUAAUUACACACGGGUUCAGCUCAGCUAUGGAUUUGAGGGACGUGCCGUUGAUGCAGAGCGAUAACACAUCGAGGGCCUGAAUUCUUUGAGUUAUAGGGUAUCCAAUGAUAGAAGAGGGUUGUGAAAAGGAUCAUGUUUAUUAAAAAGUAAUUAGGCCAGGCUAGCAGCACAAAACUGUUCGUUGAAAUUCAAGAGUAAAUUUGUUUAGGAUCGGAAUGGCUUUGAUACCAUGUCAAAUAUACUAAAUGAUACUCAAUAAAACUCGAUGCCCCUCGUUGUGAGAGGUUCUCUCCUUAUAUUAAGCCAAAUCAAAACUAAAUUUGGAACUAUCAAUUAAGAUUGAUGCUUUAUAUUCUUUCCUAACAUUCCAUUAAUAUAUAUUAAGCUAAAUGUGGCUCAUGCAAGAAGCACAUUAAGCAAGUAUGGCUAAUCCAUGUUUUGAGCACUAAGAAAUAUUAAAUUGGUUGUUAAGAUUUCAUAAAGGAAUUCCUCACUACAUGGUAAACAACUAGAAAACAAAAUAAGGUUCACACUCCACAACACUCUCAUACAUGCCUAUUCGAAAUCAUAGUUGAGAUAGCCAAAAUGAUGCAUCACCUCAGUCGAGGCAUCAUAUCGAGACCAACCCUCCAUUGCUUAAAACGAAGUGCUAUAGUUUGCCGUAGAGUAAAUUUGAGGCAAUUAACCUUUAAUGAGAGAAGACAUCUCCCACUUUACCUAUUUCAAUAGAUCUUCAUCACAAAAUCUUUUAAUUAAUUGAUGAGAUAGCUUUCCAGCAAAUAUAUCAUGAUCAACUUGUCAAUAUAUAGAGCGGCUACUUUUCAAAGGUCAGACCUAGGCUAUAAGAUUAUUGCUUUUUAGAAACAUUAAAUGCCCUCAACCUAGCAUUGAUGGAGUGACAUUGAGGAAAAUUCAAUACCAUCAGAAUGAGGCCACAUGUUUUUUCAUCUAACGAGCAAAUAUUGCUCCUAUUCCACUGUAAAACUCAUACUUAAUGCCAAUUUGAAGGUAAUGAAAUUUUACAACCCCAAUAGAAUAUUGUUCUUUCAUUUUACUCUUAUAUACCCUUGGUGCUUGAAUACUAUUGUGGUUCAUGUCUUCCAUAUGUCCUACACUCAAAUAUAGUAAACAAGUUGAUUGAUUUGACAAUCUGAGUGCUAGCAACUAUCCCCUCCACCUUCGAAGAAGUCCACUUCUAAUAGUUAGUCCAAAUGUGUAGAAUAUGGGCUACAUAGACGUAAAUGGAGCAUGAUUUGUUGACCACGUCACUCGUGCAAAAAUUGAGGUCAACAGUAUCCUUUAACAUUUAACCCAAGCAGAUAUGAAUAUAAAGGUACUACAUCCAAACACGUCAAUUCUUAUUUGAAAAGUUGAAUAUUAGUUCCGUGUAAAUUUUCUUUUGCAAAUGAAAACUCGGUGCUAAAGGAUGGGGACUUGAAAGCUAUCCCCUAAAUUGUUACUUUUGUUGCACUAAGUUAUCUAAUAUUAAUGUGGAGAUUUGAUGGACUAUAAUGCCAAACUCAUCUUAGAGUGAUGGUGAACUUAAACAAAGACUUUACGCCUUGGGCUAAGUUUGAAGAAAGCAAGUAGCCCAACUCUGAAACAAGUAACCCAUGACCCGAAUCCACUUGCUGUUGCUAUGAAAAUAUGAUUUCAAUCGAUUUGCCACCUAAUAUCAACUUUGACCCUUGUGGUGCAUUCUUGGAUCAGGGAGAAGAUCUAGGAUGGCAACGAUGGUUUUGUAAAGUAAUGAGUUGCCCUGAAUCCCUCAUUCUGUUCUACUGAUUCUUUUCCUUCUUCUUCUUCAUCUUUUUCCCCUUGCUGCAAGGUGAGCUUUUAAUUUCCUUUGUGCAAUAGCACUCUUUUUCAGUUUUUUGAGUGCUUAAGACUAGAUUAAAGGAGACUCUCUUUCACUCUUCGUCUUUUGAAUUACUAUAGCACUUGGUGGGCUUUAUUUGAACAAUCAAUUGAUACACCUUGGUGGCUAGGAACUUCGGUGCAAUUGUCUAGGUUGUGUUCUUUUUUUAUUGUAAAGUUUUGAUUUCUGUUCAUGCGUUAAAGGUUGUAUAAUAAUAUCUAGUCACGAAACUUUAACAUGUUUAUUUUCAUUAAUCAUUAAAAUAGAUCCCAUGAGUCCAAACUAAUAGUGAUGUUUAUUGGCUCACAUGAUGCUUAUGAGAUAUAAUUGUGGACAUUAUUGUCUAGAUCGACAAGGUUUUUAUGAACAAAUUAGAUGUCUUUCUUGAACAAAGAUGGCUUUGUGAUGCAAUAUAUUUGGUGGCUAUCAUAAGUUCUUGCACAAAAGGUCUAUUGGUGGUGGAAUUUGAUAUUUGAUAAAUGUUUUAGUCGUGCUUCCAAAAUGGACAUUGUACGCUAUUACUCUUAUCUCUCAUGAGGAAACACAUUUCCAGAUUCACAAGCACGACUCCAAAUUUUACUUCUGCAUUUAUUUCGUCCAAUAUAUAUAACAUGGCUACUAUUAUUCUUUUACUUUGAUUCCAAUUUGAUGUACUCUCUAAUUUUAGUAAUAUUAUUAAAAUAUGAGAUGGUAGAUAAUAACGAUUCUAAAGGUGUUGACCUAGAUGUGAUGUUCAUAUGCACCUACUGAUUCCUCUUCCAACAAUCUUACGCAAAAAAAAUGAAUAAAAUAAUUUGUUGUUGAACAAUAUCUAUUUUGUGUUGCUUGGCCAUGUAUGGUUAACCUUAGAUUUUUUGGGAGUAAUGUCAUUUAACAUAACUAGUGUCCAGUCGAGAUGGUAGCACUAUUGACAUUAAAUUAUACAUUCAAUUAAAUACAAGUAAAUAUGACUCAUUUGAUAGGAUCUAGAUAGCAUUAUUCUAUUUUGGAUGGAGUCAAUCAUAAUUUUUUGGAAUAAUUAACAUAACAUAGUAUGUGGCAUACGCCUCAUAUUGUUGACCAGACUAACCUCAUCGUUAGUUUCUCUAGACAAUUGAUUUUAGUAACUAAGGAUAUGGAAGUAAAAAAAUAAAUUAUUUAUGAAAUAUUGAUAUUGAAAGUUCACAUACUAUUUCCCAACAUGCAUAUAAGAUUGAGGAUGAACCAAGUUUUUAAGUCGGAUGAGAACGAUCGUCUAGCUAAAAGUGUUUCUUUGAAGUAGACAUUGAAUGUGUUUUGCAUGAGAAAAAAUCUCUGUUAUAAUUCGGAUCAGAUCUAGAACUAUUUUAUUGAAAGUAGAACAGCUUUGGUACCACUUUUUGGAGAUGGAGGUUAUAUGACUUAAUAUAAAGUAUAUGAUCGCACAUAGAAAACAAGUCUAAAGUUAAGAAAUUGAUUGUUAGGGGAACAAUAUUUUAUUCAACAACCAAUGAAGAAAAUAAUAUUAUUAUAGUAAUACUUAAAAUUGAAUGAAGAGUCUACUAUUUAUAAGGAACAUGUCAAUACCUUAGAAAUAACUUAAAAGAUAGAAACUAGAUCAAAAUAUGUGUGAAAAAAAAAAGGAAAAACAAAUCUCACACGACGUCGUCGUUCGAGCGCUGUUUAGCACUAGGCGAGCGAAAGCUAGGUGACAGUUUUCUGCUCCAAAAGUUCACCUAUCGCUAGUAACCAUCCAGUGCCGAAAUUUUUUUUUUACUUGGACCCUAUUUUGAUAUCUUGAAGCCCAAUACUCCAAAUCAUGCAAUCGUAGACUGAAUGUGGGUCAGAUUUUCAAAAUUUUCACCUUGACACAAAAUUUGGUACAAGGAACGAAAUUCCAAAAUUUCUCAACCUGGAAAAAAUAAGUUCGACUGCAAUGAAACAAACUGAACCUUUAACCCGAAUCAAACAUCUGCAAUAACACAAAAUUUACUCUUCCUCUUCCACAAUAUCCAACACGGAUACACAAACCCAAACAUCAGGUUUCCAAAAAUUCACAAAAAAUUUAGAAAUUACCAAACAGGGUUGAAGCACACCAUGUAAUAGAAUCAACUUUUAAUGCUUUCAUUGCUAGUCUCGACACCUUCAAAAAUCCUAAAAAAUGUGCAACCAAAUCAGCAUCCCCGUACCUAUCUCAAAUGGGUCUCUCCCUAGCAAUUGAAUACGAUGGAACCGUGAACAAUGGCAGUAAAGCAAAAUUAUCGAUGUCCUCCAAACUCAACCGAGUAGUAUUUUUCAAUAUGGACCCAAAGCCAAAUUCUAAAUGUACUGCAUCAAAUUGAAUAUCUACCACGAUACUAAAUCUAUGUUAACUUUUCUUUAUUGAUUCUACCUCACCUUGCAAGAUGUAUAAUCGGGACCUCUUCUACCCCUCCAAUACAAUAAGGACACUUUUCGAACCUUCAAGAUUCCAUUUGCUUUAAAGAACAUGGACCCUUCUAAUUAAGAGUACUCAAUAAAAUGAGAUUCUUCUUCAAAACUGAAAUAUGUCGAAUAUGAUCAAGUGUUCUACAUGUCCAUCUAUCAGCUUCAAUUGAUUGGUUGAAAGGCCUAAAAGAGAACGUUGUUUUGGAGGGGGUAUGAUGCCCCUUGGCAAUCUUAAUACGAGCUAUCUGACAAGAUUUGUUUUACCCAUGACAAAGACACAUUGGUCGUCGUUUCAUAUAUUUCAAACAAAUCCCAAUUGGGAUAUAUAUGGAACGCACAAGCUGUAUCCAAAAUUCACUUUUCAUCAGGUUUGGAUUCUACAUAAGAAAUCGCGAAGAGAUCUCCAUCACUCAAAUAGUCUUCAGCUAUGUUGGCCUUAUCCAAAGUGUUUGAUUUCUUCUCAUAAUAUGUAGUUGAAUUAUCUUUACUCUACAACUUCAAUCUCUCUUAAUAUGUCCUUUCUUUUUGCAAUAAAAACAAAUCCGAUUGUUGAAACUCAACCUCGACUUACCCCUUCGCCGAUCUCCAUGAACCACAAGACUUUCUCCAUCUCUGGACUCAGAUCUAACUAUAUGCUUCAUUUUCUCCUUUGAGAAUAGGACAUCAUGUACGUCUUUAAUGGUGAGAGUAUCACGACUAUACAAAAUUGUGUCCCUAAAUAAAGUAAACAAAGCAGGCAAGGAACACAACAGAAUUAAGGCCAAAAUUUUUCAUUUGUACUUUACCUCUAAUGUCUCCAAAUCAGUGACAAUUUCUUUGAACAGAGCCAAAUGAUUUUCCAAAGAUUCACCUUCUGCCAUGCAAUGAGAAUACAACAGCUUCUUCAGAUGCAAUUUGCUUAUCAAACUUUUGAUCAUACACAAUUGCACAAACUUCAACCACAAUGCAGUUGUUGUCUUCUCCUUUAAAACAUCUUGAAGAAUAUUGUUAGAGAGAUAGAGAUAAAUAUGUAAAAAUGCCUUCUUAUCCUUUCAUAGCUUCUCCUCCGUUGUCCAAAUUGUGGAUAUUUUGUCAAAUCCCAACAAAGCAUCAUCCAAAUAAAUAUGUGUCUAUAUAGCUUGCAUCUUCACUUGCCACAAUAAAAAUCUUAUAUUGCGAUCCAAAAACGAAAUUUUAUACUUCAUAACUGCCAUCGAUAACAAAAACCUCGAACAAAAUCCCAACCGAUAACUUUGAUACCAAUUGUUCUAAUUCGGACCAGAUCUAAAACUACUUUACUGAAAGUAGAAUAGCUUUGAUACCACUUAUUAGAGACGAAUGAGGCUAUAUGACACAAUAUUAAGUGUAAGAUCGCAUAUAGGAAAUAAGACUAAAGGCAAGAAAUAGAUUAACAGAUGAAUUGUAUUUUAUUUAACAGCCAAUAGAGAAAAUAAUAUUGUUACAACAAUACCUAAACUUGAAUGAAAAGUCUACUAUUUAUAAGGAGUAUGUCAAAACUCUUCGUUUCUUCUAUGUUGUCCAUGUGAUUACUCAUAAUCAACAUGUCAUCAACAUAUAAGCAUAUAAAUGUCACAUAAUUUCCACAUACUUUGAAAUAUAAACAUUUAUCUACAAUAUUAUGCUUAAACUCGAAUGAUAUAAUUGCUAAGCUAAAUUUCUCAUGCCAUUUCUUAGGUGCUUGCUUCAAUCCGUACAAGGAUUUCACCAACUUGCAUACCUUAUGUUCACUUCUGGGUAGGACAAACCCUUCAAGUUGUUCCAUAUAGACCUCCUCGUCGAGAUCUCCAUUUAGGAAUGCCGUCUUGACAUUCAUUUGAUGAACAUGCAAGGAAGCUACAGAGAAUAAUAUCCUAAUCGAUGUUAUUCUAGCAACCGGUGCAUAGGUAUCAAAGUAGUCAAUUCCUUCCUUUUGCCGAUAUCCUUUGGCUACUAGUCUAGCCUUGAACGUAUUUAAGGAUCCAUCAACAUUAUAUUUUUUUCUAAAUACCAAUUUACAUUCUAUGGGUUUGGAUCCCGGUGGUAGUUCGACAAGAUCCCAAGUGUUAUUGGACAUUAUCAAAUUCAUUUAAUCCUUAAUGGCAUCCUUCCAAAAGAUGUUAUCACGCGAAGUCAUAGCUUCUUUAUAAGUCUUAAGGUCAGAUUCUCCUUGUAGAACAAAAGGAAUUGUCCUUACAACAUUCAACUCAUUUCCCUCUACCAAGUAGAAUGAGAUAAGUUGAGAAUCAAUUUCAUCCAGUCUCAAAGACUUCUCAACCCGAGUUCUCUUGCUUCUUCGUGGUUCUCUAGAUUCAUCAACGUCUUUUAAAGACGUUUCAUAAUGCGCUCUACUUGAGCUAGGGAUAUUUUCAAAAUUUUCCCUCAAUUCAUUAUCCGAAGAUAAUGAAUCCUCAAAGAACUCCACAUCAUUGGAUUCGAUAAUCACAUUGGACUCCAAAUUCAGCAAUCUAUAAGAUUUGCUAUUAUUUGAAUAUCCCACAAAAGCACACUUAAUGCCUCUUGGACCAAUUUGGUCCUGUUAGAAUUUGUGUUCUUGCUAUAAGCAAGACACCCCCACACUUUGAUGUAUCCAAUGUUUGGUUUUCUUCCUUUUCAUAAUUCAUAUGAAGAAACUUUGGUAUAAUUCGAAGGAAUUCUAUUAUGUAUUCUACAUGCACUCAACAAAUCCUCACCCCACAAAUUAAAUGGUAACUUACCAUGAAUAAGCAUGACAUUUAUCAUUUCUACAAAUGCUCUAUUUUUUCUUUCAGCCAAGCCGUUUUGUUCGGGUGUCCUAAGUGCAGAACAUUGAUGAAUAAUUUCAUGUUGUUCACAAAACAAAUUAAAUUCAUUGGAGAAAUAUUCACCACCUCUAUCACUUAUGAAUGUUUUAAUUUUCUUUUCUAGAUAAUUUUCAACCUCGUUUUUGUAUACUUUAAACAUAUCAGAAGCUUCACUUUUAUGUUUUAUCAAGAAAACAUACGUAUAUCUAGAAAAGUCAUCAAUGAAGGUAAUAAAGUACCUAUUUCCACCUCUAGUUAACAUGCCAUUCAGUUCACAUAUAUCGGUGUGAAUAAGUUCUAAAAUGUUAGAAGUCCUUUUUAAACUAUGGUAAGACUUUUUGAUCAUUUUAGAUUCAACACAAAUCUUGCAUUUAUUUUCAUUAUUUCCAUCAUUUGAGAUCAAUUCACAAUUUUUCAUGCGUUUCAUGGUACUUAUUCCAACACGACCUAAUCUAGCAUACCUUAAUGAAAAUAAAUCCACAACAUAAGCGAAAUCAGUUUUAUUUAUUUCAUUAUCAAUAGUACAUAACUUGAUCAUUCCUUCACAAGAAUAGCCCUUUCCAACAAAUUUCCCAUUGAGGGAUAAUACAAGUUUACCGGACUCAAAGACACUUUUAAUACCCGAUUUUCCCAAGAGAUUUCCACCCACUAGUUUCCUAUUCAUAUCCGGAACAUGUAGCACAUUUGUGAGAGUAACGUUUUUCCUGGAAGUGAAGAUAAUGUCUAUACUUUCUUUUCCAAUCACUUUGGAUCUCACCUCAUCACCCAUUUGGAUCUCUUGGUCUUCAUCCAUUUCAUUAUAUAUUUUGAAUAAAAAUUUGUCAUAUGAUACAUGUACCGUGGCACAAGUAUUAUACCACCAGCCGGGAACCUUUUCCUUAAUAGCAUUUAUCUCGCUUACGGUGGCCACAAUUUUUUCUUCUUGGAUGAAUUCACUUUACCUUCGGAGGUGUUGUGUUUUCGGUGUCUACAAUCUUUUGCGUAGUGUCCAGAUUCUCCACAAACAUAACAUCCUCCUUUGGUCUUCUUCUUGGACUUGUUAACGUUCCUUGAAGGCUUCAUCUUGUUGGAUUUUGUAGGCAGAUCAGAUUUCUCAAUAGCAUUAGCCUUGGAAGUUCCCUCCAAAGAGUUUUCACUCUUGUCACGCAAUUGGGAUUCUUCCUCAAUCCGAAGAUGUUCUUACAAUUGUUAAAAAGAAUAAUCUUCGGAACUAUGCAUAAUUUUCUUCCGGCAUCCUUUCCAAGUCCCCGGGAGUUUAGCAAUUACAGCCCCCACUUGAAAAGUCUCCGGGAUUUCAAUCUUCACCGCUUUCAAUUUAUUGACAAUCACUUGCAACUCGUGCACUUGGGGAAGUAGGGGGAUAUUUUCUAAGAAUUUAAAAUCAAAAUACUUAGAAACCAAAAACUUCUUUGUACCUUCCUCUUCCGCCUUAUACUUACUUUCCAAAGCGCUCCAGAUUUCCUUCCCCGAAGUUGUAUUUGUAUACAAAUCAUAUAAGCGAUCCAACAUCGCAUUCAAGAUAUGACCAUUACAAAUCAAUUCAUCUUUUUAGCGUUUUUGUCUCUCGGCCUUGAUUGCUUCGGUCUCUUCAUUUUUGGGUUCUAGCAAAGGCCCCAAUUUUGGAUCAAGGAUAUAAAAAAUCUUCAACACCGUUAAUAGGAAUUUCAACUUGUCUUGCCACCGCGUGAAGUUCGUCCCGUCAAAACGAUCCAAUCGAACCAGAUCUUGAUUCAUAAGUUUAAUGGUUGCCAUGGUUGUCUCGUUCUCCAUCAUAGGAUAGUAUAGCUUGAGAUUGUUGGAAAUAUAUAGAGGAAUGAAGAAGAGACAACAAAAAUGAAAAUGUAAUCACAAGUUGAAUUAAUAUCCAGAAAUUUGAAGAAAAUAAAAUGGAAGGCUAAAACGCGUAAUCGCUGUCCUCAAACUAUAUUUGCCUACUCUCGAGAUUGAAUGAGAUGCUUAAAGAUCUUUGGCAAAUGGUUUGUAGGAUAAUAACAAGCCUUGUAAAAGAUCAAGCACCAAAGCAUAAGUGCGAUCCUCCAAAACUUUAAGAACACAAAAAAGAAAUUGAGUAUGAAUAUCAAUCAAUUGUUUGAUCUUUGAUUUUAGAAUGAGUAUUGAUCACAAAAUGUUAUUCACAUUAUUUGGCUUUAGAUUUAUCACCUAUUUAUAGGCCAUCACCAAGUGUGCAUGAAAUGGUGACAAAAUAGGUUGAAAAGCCACCACUUUUGAAGUUAUAGCGGUAGAAAAACGGCUCCCAACGGUCACAGGAAAUCACCAUGCGGCCGCAUAGAGUAAUUGAAGGGCCCCUUUAAAUCUCAGUAGAUGGCGCAUGGCAGAAAGUUUAGGCCACCGUUUUUUCUUUAUAUUUCCACCGUUUGGUUUCCACGCCGGUUUUUCUUUGGCUUCCUUCAUGUUAUUUCAUCCCAUUUUCAUUCCUUAAUUGAAUUUCGAACAACAGUAUAAUAGAUAAGGUUGCAGAAUUUACGGUUAGAUUUAUCCUCUUAUGUUCUUUAAUGUACCAUGGAGGUUUUGAUUUAGCAGCUAAAUAAGCUCACUAAUAUUGUAUCCAGUGAAAUGCAUGGCUUAAGCUAAUAAUCUACAAGGAAAUUGUGAGCAUUCUCAUUUUGACAAUAAUUUCCUUCCUCAUUGUUAAUACUCCAUCUGUCAGAAUUAUAUAGGUUGAGUUUCAUUUUUCUCUUGUCCCAAAUAUAUGGGCUUAUUUCCUAAUUUAGAAUAUUUUAUUUUAUUCCUUUACCAAUAUACUAUUAUUAAAUUUUUCCCACUUAAUAUGCUAACUUCCUGAAAUCAUCCAAAUACACACAUUUCCUAUUUCUUGGGAAAAUGAAACAAUUCUCAUUUCUUCUUCUUCAACUUAAAUCAUUCAAAUUAUUUACUAAUUCCAACAAUAAAUUAUUACUACAUAUUGAAAAUUAAAUAAGGGUAAUUUAGGAAUAUCUUGACAAAAAUUGAUUUUCCAAUGACAUUAAAGAAGAUUUUCUAAUCUAUAUGAAAAACGAAACAAGCUUAUGUAAUUGGGACGGAUGGAGUAUUUUAAUUUUAGGAGUCUCGCCCUUUUCCUAUUUGGACCAAUUUCUACCUGAAUUUUUUUUUAUUUACUUUUCUUAUUUUGAAGCUGCAGUUCUUUGCUUAGUUGGUCAGACACAACCAAUUUCAUUGUGGACCUGCGAAAUCCCUUUUUAGAAGUAUAAAAUUGAAAAAGUCAAUAUAUAUUCCAUUGUCCAUAAUAUUAAGGAAAAAAAAACUAUGGAGAUAGUUUAGUUAAUUAAUUACUAAGAAGGCAUUAGCUAGGAAAGAUGAAAAAGACUACAAAGUUGGCUCGAGCACAUAUUUAGGUUGGGCAUCAAUGGAAAGAGAAACUAGAGCUCCUCACCUGUGUUUCAGUAUAGAAUCAAAGUACGUAUUAUAGGUUAAAAUUCACAAUUACAUGUUUAUGGAAUUCGAUACGCAACUUAAGAAAUAUAUUUGUCUCGUGUAUAUUCAACUAGAGAGUCCAUACGGUCUAAAAUUAAAUUUUGUUAAAAGGUAAAUGAUAAGUGCUUUAACUAGUUAUUUCAUUUUAUUAUUAUUAUUAUUAUUAUUAUUAUUAUUAUUAUUAUUAUUAUUAUUAUUAUUAUUAUUAUUGGAUGAUGGGAGAACCCGUAGUCGCUAUCUUUUGGGUACACACUGGGUAAACUCUCGGGUUGAUGCUGUUAAGAAAUAUAGGAUUAUUUAUUAUUUAUUAAGGGUAGAAUAGCCCUUUUUAAUUUCCUUUGUUUAACCUAUAUAUAUUCUCUUUGUAUUUUGGUUAAACCAUCUUUAGCAUUCAAUUAUUUAGGUAGUAUCAAUGAAACCCUAGCCUCCUCCUUUUUCUUCUUUAUUUUCUUUGGAUUGUUUAACAUGGCAUCAGAGCCAGAUUUCAUGGGACAAAACUUAACCUCAAACACAGCUUUUGCGGAUCCAAAAAUUAUUUCUAGUAUUUCUGCAAUCUGUUAAAUCUGUUAUUUUGUUUAUUAUGGCUACUGAAAGAGACGAUUCCCUUCAGUCUGUGAGUGUGAGGUUGGAUGAAAAGAAUUAUUCGUAUUGAAGUUACGUGAUGAGAAAUUUUCUUAAGGGUAAAAAGAUGUGGGGAUUCAUUAGUGGAACUUCUGUGAAACGUGAGAAUACCAAUGAGGGUUAUGCUGCUUUGAUAGAUGCUUGGGAAUCAAACAAUUCAAAAUUUAUUACUUGGAUUAACAACUCCGUGGAGCAUUCCAUAGGUAGAGAGUUGGCGAAGUAUGAGACAGCAAAGAAGGUUUGGGAUCAUCUGCAAAGAUUAUUCACUCAGUCAAAUUUUGCAAAGCAGUAUCAAUUGAAGAAUGAUAUACGAGCUCUUCAUCAGAAUAAUAUGAGUAUUCAGGAGUUUUAUUCUGCUAUGACAGAUCUUUGGGAUCAAUUGGCCCUUACAGAAUCGACAGAUUAAAGGCAUGUGCUGCCUAUAUUACUCAUAGAGAGCAGCAAUGGUUGGUACAAUUUUUAACGGCACUUCGCAGUGAUUUUGAAGGACUCAGAGGUUCAAUUUUGCAUAGUUCUCCACUUUCUUCUGUUGACUCAGUUGUCAGCGAGUUAUUGGCUGAAGAAAUACGUUUUAAGUCUUAUGCUAAAAAUGGAAUUCUUUCUGCUUCUAACCGUUCUGUAUUAGCAGUGUCUUCUAAGCCAUCCUCUAAUAAUCAAAAUAAGCCUUACACAAGGGUUGCCUUUGACAAGUGCAGUUUCUGUAAGCAUAAACGUCGUUAGAAGGCUCAGUGUCCUAAGUUGAGAUAGUCGAAUCAAUUACAGCAGCAAUCUCAAGCUUGGAAGCCUCACGACCAAUCACGAUCUAAUGCUCAUAGACCACCACAAUCUAAUACUACAGCAAUAGCUUCAUCAGGUCCUUUCACUGAUCCUAGUACUUUGGCUGAGCAAUUUAAGAAGUUUCUCUCCUUACAGCCUCAAGCUAUGUCUGCUUCUUCCAUAGGUCAGUUGCCUCAUAGUUCUUCAGGUAUGUCACAUUCUGUAUGGGUCUUGGAUUCUGGUGCUUUUCAUCAUAUGUCUCCAGAUUCUUCGUCUUUUGCUUCUGUGUCCCCUUCGUCCUCUAUUGCUAUCAUGACUGCUGAUGGCACUCCUAUGCCAUUAGCAGGUGUUGGUUCUGUUGUCACACCUCACUUGUCCCUCCCUAAUGUUUAUCAUAUUCUGAAACUCACAUUAAAUCUUGCUUCUGUUGGUCAGUUAAGUGAUUCUGGUAAUUUAGUCACAUUUUUCUCUUCUUCUUAUUAUGUGCAGGAUCUGCAGUCUCAGAAGCUGAUUGGGACAGGCUGUAGGAAGGGUGGACUAUAUAUUUUAGAUGAGCUAAAAGUGCCAGUUACUGCUGCCGCUACUAGUGUUGAUUUGUCUUUGUUUCGUUUGAGUCCUUCUUCUUCUAGUUUUUAUUUAUGGCAUUCUUGUCUAGGUCAUGUUUCGUCAUCUCGUUUGAGAUUUUUAGCUUCUACAGGGGCUUUAGGAAAUUUACACACUUGUGAUAUUUCUGAUUGUAGUGGAUGCAAACUGGCAAAAUUUUCAACUUUAUCUUUUAAUCGAAGUAUUUCUGUUUCUUCUUCUCCAUUUGAUUUGAUUCAUUCUGAUAUAUGGGGGCCUUCUCCUGUUGCCACAAAAGCAGGGUCUCGAUAUAUGUUUCUUUUAUUGAUGAUCACACUCGUUAUUGUUGGGUUUAUUUAAUGAAACAUCGUUCUGAAUUUUUUGAGAUAUAUUUAGCCUUUCGUGCUCUUGUUAAAACUCACAUUCCACUGUUAUCAAAUGUUUUAGGUGUGAUUUGGGUGGAGAAUACACUUCUAAUAAAUUUUGUGAACUGCUUGCUUUAUAUGGAACUAUUCACCAAACUUCGUGUACAGAUACUUCUGAGCAAAAUGGUGUUGCUGAAAGAAAACAUAGGCACAUUGUUGAAACUGCUCGUUCUCUCUUGUUGUCUGCAUCUUUCCCUAGUGUGUUUUGGGGUAAAGCUGUUCUUACUGUUGUAGGUUUGAUUAAUACAAUUCCAUCUUCUCAUAUUUCAGGGUUUUCUCCUUUCGAAGAGUUGUAUGGGUAUACCCCUAAUUAUUCUCUCUUUAGAGUUUUUGGUUGUACUUAUUUUGUUCUUCGUCCUCAUGUAGAACACAACAAGUUGUCAUCUUGAUCUGCUAUUUGUGUCUUUCUUGGUUAUGGUGAAGGUAAAAAGGGGUAUCGUUGUUUUGAUCCAAUAACUCAGAAACUUUAUGUUUUUCGUCAUGUUGUUUUUCUCGAGCAUAUACCUUUCUUUUCUAUUUCAUCCACUACUCAUAGUCUGACUAGAUCUGAUCUUAUUCGUAUAGAUUCUUUUUCUGACAAUCCUGAUAGUUUGUCUUCUCCAGAGCCUACUACUUCAAAUGUCCAUUCUCAUGUUCCUACCCCGUUGUCUUUACAACCAACUCGUACUAAUCAUUCCGCAGGUACUGACACUUUACUCUCCGACACACCUAAAGCGUCAUCUUCUCCUACAAUCCCUCAAGCCGUCUGAGAUUGUGGAUCCGCCUCUACGUCAAUCUAUACGCAUUCGUAAGUCUACAAAGUUACCAAAUUUUUCUUAUUCUUGUUAUUCUUCAUCCUUUUCUACCUUUUUAGCUUCUAUUCAUUGUCUCUCUGAGCCCUCUUCCUUUAAAGAGGCAAUUCUUGAUCCUCUUUGGCAGCAAACUAUGGAUGAGGAACUUUCUGCUUUGUAUAAGACUGGUACUUGGGAUUUGGUUCCUUUACCUUCUGGUAAGAGUGUUGUUGGUUGUCGUUAGGUGUAUAAGAUCAAGACUAAUUCUGAUGGGUCAAUUGAGCGAUACAAAGCUAGGUUGGUUGCAAAGGGAUACUCUCAACAGUAUGGUAUGGAUUAUGAGAAGACAUUUGCUCCUGUUGUAAAAAUGACUACUACUCGUACUCUUAUUAUAGUAGCUUCGGUUCGUCAGUGGCGUAUCUCUCAACUUGAUGUUAAAAAUGCCUUCCUGAAUGGAGAUCUUCAAGAAGAGGUUUAUAUGGCACCCCCUCCUGGUAUCUCACAUGAUUCUGGGUAUGUUUGCAAGCUCAAGAAAGCAUUGUAUGGUCUCAAACAAGCACCUCGUGCUUAGUUUGAGAAGUUUUCUGUUGUGAUCUCUUCCCUUGGAUUUGCUUCUAGUAGUCAUGAUUUUGCUCUUUUUGUUAAGAGCACUGAAGUAGGUCGUAUCAUUCUAUCUUUAUAUAUUGAUGACAUGAUUAUUGCUGGUGAUGAUAUUGAUGGUAUUUCAGUUUUGAAGACAGAGUUAGCUAGACAGUUUGAAAUGAAAGAUUUGGGUUCUCUACGAUAUUUCUUAGGUAUUGAGGUAGCCUUCUCACGCAGAGGUUAUCUUCUUUCUCAUUCGAAAUAUGUUGCAGAUAUUCUUGAGCGGGCAAGACUUACUGAUAAUAAGAUUGUUGAUACUCCAAUUGAGGUUAACGCGAAGUAUUCUUCUUCUGACGGUUUACCUUUGUCAGAUCCUACUUUAUACCGUACUAUUGUUGGGAGCUCGGUAUAUCUCACUAUUACUCGUCCAGAUAUUGCAUAUGAUGUUCAUAUUGUUAGUUAGUUUGUUGCUUCUCCCACUACAGUUCAUUGGGCAGCUGUUCUUCGCAUUUUGUGAUAUCUUCGGGGUACAGUCUUUCAGAGUUUGUUACUUCCAUCCACCUCCUCCUUGGAGCUGCGUGCAUACUCUGAUGCUGAUCAUGGCAGUGAUCCCACAGAUCGCAAGUCUGUUACUGGUUUCUGUAUCUUUUUCGGUGAUUCUCUUAUUUCUUGGAAAAGCAAGAAACAAUCUAUUGUUUCUCAAUCUUUCACCGAAGCAGAAUAUCGUGCUAUGGCAUCUACUACUAAAGAGAUUGUUUGGUUACGUUGGUUACUUGCAGAUAUGGGAGUUUUUCUUUCUCAUCCCAUUCCUAUUUAUUGCGACAAUGAAAGUUCUAUUCAGAUUGCUCACAACUCGAUUUUUCACGAACGAACUAAGCACAUUGAGAUUGAUUAUCAUCUUACUCGUCAUCAUCUCAAGCAUGGCACAAUUACUUUGCCCUUUGUUUCUUCUUCUUUGCAGCUUGCAGAUUUUUUUACCAAGUUGCAUUCUAUUUCUCGUUUUCGUUUUCUAGUUGGCAAACUCUCAAUGCUUGUAGCUGCCGCAUCAUGAGUUUGAGGGGAGAUGUUAAGAAAUAUAGGAUUAUUUAUUAUUUAUUACGGGUAGAGUAGUCCUUUUUAGUUUCCUUUGUUUAGCCUAUAUAUAUUCUUUUUGUAUUUAGGUUAAACCAUCUUUAGCAUUCAAUUAUUUACGUAGUAUCAAUGAAACUCUAGCCUCCUCCUUUUUCUUCUUUAUUUUCUUUAGAUUGUUUAACAGACGCAAUAGUCUGCAAACCACGCCAACCAGUUAAAUCGCAUUAGGCAAGCUCGAUGCGACAGGCUCGACUGAAAAAGUAUUGGUAGGAGGAAUCGAACUCUUGACCAAAGGUCUUUGCACUCACCUACUCCACUAACUCGGCAACUCCAUGAGGGGCUUUAACUAGUUAUUUCCUUAUUAGAACAUGUGACGGUUUUUUAAUUUUUUAUUUAUUAUUAUUUUUUUUCAGUUCCCUUUGUUAAAAUUAGGUUGACUGAACAUAUUUUCCAUUAUAAUACUUUUUCAAUAUACAUGGAGUUCUCAUUUAAAGGAGUUUUUAAUUAGUUGAGAUUGUCAUAUUCGACAUUAAUUGGCUCUUAAGUUAUUGGUGUUAAAUUGCUAUUAUUGUUAGUUAGGACAAAAACAAAAGUUGGGAUUUCGAUAUUGGACCUUUAAAAUCAGAUAUGGAUUCCAUGAAGACUUGAAAACAAAGUUAACCAUAAAUUAAGCAUCUGAUAAAGUUCGUUUAUUUUUGACACCGUCCUAUGGACAAGACGGGACAGACCAUAAUAAAGUAUGUUUUAUUGUUUUAAUGACGUUGCAUGGACAGACACAUAAACGAAGUAUAGGGCUUUGAUUGGUUGGAACUCUAAGAACCUUAUUUUUUAUUGUUCGUGCAACUAAAAAAUGUAAUUUUCAGAAAGUAAAAAAGUUGAAGUCAAUAAGUCAUGCAUAGUGACACAUUGUCAAUACCAUGUUAGAAAAAUAUAAUAUUUUUAGUACGAACUCUAUUGUUUAAACCCUCAAAGAAGGCUGACAGUUUAAUCCCUUAUUUUCUAAUUAUGCAUUAGGCACUCUUCUUAAUAUCAUAGCCACAAUUUCAUUAUGAAUUCAUGAUAAUGGUUUAUCACUUUAAAGAUCACCGUUUUUUAUGUAUAAUGAUAUCAUCAGCCAUUAGACAGAACUGUUAAUGAUUGUAUACCCGAUAAAUCCCUCCAAUCCCGUAUAAACCAACAUCUGCUUUUAUUUCUUAACAAUUUUAGAGAGUAUACAUUAAUUUCUCGAAUAAUUUCUUCCAUAUGAGCAAGUUAUGCUCAUGUUUAUGGGCAGCAGGAAAACCACAACGAAAAACUGAAGAGGAGGAAGCAACGGGAAAUUAGGACAAAUAUCAAAGCUGCAGGCUGCGAUGUAGAAAAACUAUUCUGAAUGCACUUGUUUACGGUAGGGUUUUUCUCGAACCAUUUUAAACGGUUUGAUUUAAAAAUAUAUGAUAAAACUAUCUAAGCAAGAGUUUUAUACUCUAAGGUCAGACUCACAAUUACAAUCUUAUCCUCCAAAAUAAGAUUUGACUAUUUAAUUUUUAUCUAAACAAGAGCAUUUUAGUCAGUUGUUACUUACCAAUAAUUACUCUGAUAAAUCAGUCAAUCUAUCAUGAGAUUUCUCGUUCAGACGUUCAUAAUUCAUACACCAACCCUCUUCAUGCCCAAAAAGUAUUGUAAAACCAAAAAUAUUGAAACGAUAGGGACGAUUUAUACAAUAAAAACAAGCGAUAGGAACAUUUUGCAACAAUUACCCAUAAUCUUUGCUUAAUCAUUCUUUCUAUAGUUAUUGUAGCCCUAAAGAUAAGGUCAACUCUUAUAUUGAAUUCAUAAAUAGAAAAGUACUGAACAAAAUGCACAAUGGCAAUUUAAAUAACAAAUUUAAAUCUUAUAUUCCGUCACACAAACGUCCCAAUUUCUUUAAUGAGGUAUUGACUAUGUGCACAUUGCCCACAAACCUAUUAACUUCUUCAACUUAUUCACUUUCUGAAAAUGGCAUUUUUUGAUUCCACCAACAAUGAAAGAUAAAGUUCCUUGAAUAUAAGAAUGCAAACCAAUCAAAACCCAAUUCCCCAUUUUCAAUUCACAUGUGUCUGUCCAUGCACAACAUUAAAACAAACAAUAUUAUACUGGUCUGUUAUAUCCAUUAUAUAGUGUUUAAAAAUUCAUAUUUUAUUAAUUACUUAAAUAAUUAUGUUGUUAACUUUGUACAUAUGGACAAGUAAUUCUUCUUUAGUCAGAUUCUUGAAUUUUAAUUUUAUCUCGAAGUCGGUCCAUAAGCGUAUAAAAAGAUUAUAAAUAUCCAAUAAAAAAUAUAUUUUUUUAUCAAAUUUAACUUUCAAGAUUGCAUCACAAGCAAACGUCCUUCAUCAAAUUAUAAAGAGUAAGAUCAAGUAAAACUAUAACAAGAUCAAAAUCAUUUUCUUACUUUAGACAGUGACUCAUUACAAUCCCAAUCUAUGCAGAAAAUUAUGGGAUUCAAAACAAGAUUUAAAUGAUGUACACACUUCCUCUCUAUCAGUUUAACCUCCGUUUGACAACCAAUUUAUAAAUUCACACAAAAAUUGAAAAUUAAUUUCAACAAAUCCUAAAUCGUAAAAAGUAGUAUUGCAGUCAUGCUCUGUACUUAACCUUGUGGAUACACAAGAUCAAUCUAUUGGAUGUAUGCGAAAAUCCGAAAGAAAGGUGCGAGUCCCAAUCAAUUGAACAGCUCGAAGGAUAGAAUGAUGGUAAUUGGUAAAUUCUCGUGGUGGAGUCUCCAUGUUAAUGCAGGACUAGGGUAAAGUCUAAACAACAGAAAAUGGUCAUCUUUAAAGGUAGCUAAACCUUUAUCAUAAACAAAUUGUGGUUAUGAUAUUGGGAUGAGUGAUUAAUGCAUAAUUUGAAAUUAAUGGAGUUAGGUGUCAGCCUUCUUUAAUUUGAGGGUAUGUUAAUUAAGUGGAGUGCUGGUGAAGUAAUGAUGUCCAACGGGACAUCUCUCACAAAUUUUUGUGUAAAGUUUAAAUGUACUAAAAGUCGUUCUCCUCUUUUAGGAUGGACAUCAUUUUGAAUCUUUAGGCUAAAUGAACAAGAUGUGGUACUAUGCCCCUGAUUGGGAUCCUUUUAAAUCAAAAGGUAUUUUUCCCUCUUUUCUUUUGAACAACAUAUUCUCAAAUAAAAUAAUAUUCACAUAAAUCCGAAAAUCUUUAGGCUAAGUGAACAAGAUGUUUACUAUCCUUUACCAAAAAAAAAAUAAUAAUAAUAAUAAGGAUGAAAUCCGAGAAAAAUGUUAUUAUUCUUUGUAAAAUGAUGGAUGGAAAUAAUUUUAUUUAUUUUUAUUUUACUUUUUUUGAUUGUGGGAACACAAAGGGUAUCACGUACAUGGAAGACACGAUUAGACGAUGCAAAUGAUAAAGAACCGAUAUGAGAUACAGGCAGUCCUGAUCCAAGACCAACCUCAUUGGUACCAUCACAUUCAGAAUGAAUGAACACAUUUAAGAGAUCAAUCGUCGUGUUUUGGGAUGUUUUAGAGUCAACAAGCCACUUUUGAAAUUUUUUUCCUUGUGAGGUGGUUGCAUAGUUGGAUGUAGCUUUAGCUGAAUUCAUCUUUGGGCAUGCUUUGGUCUUAUAGCCUACUUGAUCACACCAUUGGCACUUGGGCUUACAUUUGCGAUAGCCCAUUUCUCUUGAUGUUGCCAUGGCCUUUGCUAGAAGAGGAUCUAUGAUUUUGCUUGUUCGUUCUAGAGAACCCUAGUUAUCACUGAUUGUAAUUAGCAGUUGCAAGCAUGUUCGACCCUGAUUGAGUCUCUACCCGGCGAAGGUAGUUUGCAUGACCUACCAGAAGAUCAUGAAUUUCUUUAAACUUAAGAGAAAUUUUACAAGCAUGAAUUGGGGUUACAAUUUCUCUAAACUCAAGACCCAAUCCAUUGAGGAUAUACUGGGUUAAAUCAUCAUCCGAUACUGGAUGAUCAAUAAUUAUUUUGAUAGUUUGGAAAAACUUCAUGACAGAGGGAUUGUCGCGAGUGCUCAAGGUAUGGUCCUCCUUCAAUUGCAUAGCACGUGUUCAUGAUUUUGUCAUAGAAUUUGGAAGAGCCAAUCCUAAAAGCUAGCUAUUGAGGUUUAAGAACUCAAGCCUAUAUAAACCGUACAAAGGAAAUCCAUACUUCCGAUGUGGGAUUCAGGUGCCCAAACACCCCAAUGAAAACCACCAUGCUUCCGACUCGAUGUCCACGUGAGUAGAUGCCCAUACACCCUAAAUGGUAACCGAGACCAGAAGACAUGAUGUCGGCUCUAAUACUAUUUGUUAUGGUUGGAGCUGAACUUCAACCAAAACUAGCUAAAUUCCACACAAAAUCAACACACAAUUUAAGAUACCAUGUAGGGAUUUAAUACCCAUAUGGGAUUUCAUCAUUUGACUAAAAUUACAUAGAAACAAUGUAAUGUAAAUUGUAUUACAUUGAUUGAUAAGUUCUAUUACAAUGUAAGGAUUACAAGCAAAAGACAAAUAUAAAAAAGAAGAGAUAGAUCAGUGGAGGAGCAAAGACAGAAAAGUGAAGAAAAAUUUAGAGAAGGAAGAAGAGAGCAAGAAGAACAGAGAAAGAAAAAGAAGAGGAAAAGCGGAAUCCAGGAGAAACAGGGAAGAAGCAGAAGAAGAAAGAGAAGAUGCUUACCAAAAGGGAGAAACGCAUAGAACAGCGAAGAAAGAAGAACACAAGAGGGGGAGGAGAAGACGAUUGUGGGAAGCAAAGCCACGAUUCAAUUCCACAACACUCAUCGUCUUUAAAGCAAAACCAUAGGUAGAACAAAAUAAUGCUAAAGGGCUUGGGCUAGCCUGCUAAUAAAAUAGCCCAAUUUGAUAAAAUAACAGUACUGUAGUUAACUAUAACAUUUUUGGUAUAGAGUCAGGUAAGGGUUAUCCAGGUUUCGUGGGAUGUUUUGCAGGGUGCAAGGAAAGGGAUAAUGGUUGUGAAAGUGGAGGCAAGGAUAGCAUAAAGGGUUAACUUGGUGAACUCAGUGGGAGUUCAUGACUUUUGAGGUGGUGGCAUUUGCUGCAUCAAUGGCUGGAUAUUUUUGGAUUCCAAUGACGAAAUCGAUGAGAUCACAGCCAAUUAACUGUGCUUCGAAUUGGGCUCUCCAUUCAGAAAAGGUAGCUAGGGUAAAUGUUGUAAGAUUUUGUUUCGCAAGUGUACGAUCCGUAACAAGUAAUAGUGGACCUAGGAGUCCGGUUAUCGAUCCCACGAGGACUAUUUUGUAGCACUUAAUUUAAUCUUUCUUUAACUACUAUUUGACGAAUGUAAAUAAAAAACAAUGAUUAAAUAUGAUUUUUAUUCUAAAGACUUAAAAAUGUGAUUGGAUUCAAUGAAAAGUGAUUGAGAAUUCAAACAAUAAAUGGAAUUUAGGGCGGAACAAUUUCACCUAUUGGUCACCUUUACUUCAUAAAUCAAGAUUCAUAAAACCUAAGGUAGUGUUCGGUCGAAUUCUUCUAUUGUAUUCAACUUACCCCUCUCGAGUUCUCAUUGAGCCUACUUAAUUAGUUUAAUUUCAUAUCUCUAUGCAAAUUAAAUUUAAUUAAACGAAACAUUGGUUCUAAGAAUUCACACCCGGCCGCAGCAAUCAAUAUAAGUAUCUCUACACAUUAUAUCAAUUUACCGGAUUUUAACAUGUAGUCUAAACAAAUAAUCCGCAUCUCUACGCAAUCAUUGUUCACAAAUCAUCUAAUUAGUGAUCAAAUAAUUAAAUGUAUUAAGAACAAUAUUAAAAUCAACACAUGAAAUAAAAAAGUACUAGAAUCUCAAUUGCAUGAAAUAAAGGGUUCCAAAAGAUUACAUUGUUCGCCCUAACAUGAAAUUUAACUACUCAUAAUAAUGGAAGAAAAAUAGGAGAUUGUCUUAGAAUACAUCACCAAGUUUGAAAUAAAGAUGUGGAAGAAAAAGUGGAAUUCUUGCACCAAAAUCUCCUUCCUCUUCCAAUGAGUGCUUCCAAUCUUCAAUUCUUGGUGUUAAUCUUCUUAAAUUUCUCCUUUGAAUCUCCCUUCUUGUUGUUUUUCUCUCCAAUAUGUCAAGAAUGCGUGGCUUGAUCCCAGAGAUUUUUAGUGUGCGGCUCCCCCCCAUUUAGGUCUUCAAUCUUGUGUUUUUAUUAUCUUGGAGUUUUGGGAAAGAUUUGGAGAUGAGUUGGGCCGAAAAAGAAUGGUAAAAACCUAAAAAAAUUACUCUCGCACGGCGGCGCCUAGGCCCUGACUUUCUGUCAAAAUUUCAGCAUCAUGGCGCCUAGGAGUUGAGGGAUAGCGCCUGGGCGCUGAGGACUACUUCGGUUGCACUGGACAGAUUUCAGUAUUUUUAUCAUAACUUUUUCGUUCGAUAUCCGAUUGAAGUGAUUCAAGAUUUUUUGGAAAGAUAAUUCAAAGGACUACAAUUUUGCUUCAGGAAUCAUUCUCCAAUUCGAUCGUUUUCUAUGUCAAAAAUGAGUCUAAAUGUGAGACAAAAACUCCGGCGCAAAACUUUUUGGUUGGAAAAUGAUUUAUGAUCAUAUCUUGACUAAAUUUGAUCCCUUUGACACCUUCCUUUGUCCAAUUGGCUUCUAGAACUCUCGGAUAUUCAUUUCAAGUUUCGACAUGACUUUUGAUUAAUUGCAUUUUAAUCCUCGAACUUUGGAUCUCUUACGUUUUGGUCAUUUCAUCCAAUUUCGCUAGCUUUUGCCUAUUUCCUUCAUUUGCCCUCUUUUAGCUCUAGUUUUCUCCAUUUCCAUCAAUCUACAAAACAACACCAAAAUCACUUGUUAGCACAUCUAAAAUACUCUCCAAGAUAGCAAAAUCAUGAAAUUAAUGGCAUAAUAUAAUGAGCAUAAAUCACUCAUCAGUAAAUUUUUCACUUAUGUUGGUUGCAGCGUUGAUGGUGAUGAUAGGAGCAUCUAGCUAGUUGCAGGGAUGGUGAUCAUUUGAGGAAUUGAAGGAUAUGUAACUCAUUAUAGGUUUGUUCUGAUACCAUAAAGAGGAUUUGCACUACUAAGGUUUUGAAGAUUUUAAUCCACACAUUUUCAUUUCUAUACGUAUACUCUAAUUAUGUACAAUCGGAGAGCAUGAAUUAUGGAAUACAAAUAAUGCAACUGAAUAUUUAUAGCCUAAUUACAAUGAUAUUAAUAGAGAAUAAAAAACUGUUGUUGAAAUCAAGUUAAACGCAAAGUCAGAAUUUUGAUUAUUUUUGCAUAAAUUGAUCCCAUAUUUUCAGCAUCUUCCUUGAUAAUCCCUUGUUCGGGCUCCAUUAAAAUCAUAAUAUAUCUUUUUCUCUCUUCUUUUCAACCACGUAUUCUCCCAUAAAAUAAUAUUACAUAUAAAUAUAAAAUUUUCUUUUUAGCCACACAUUUUUCAAAAAUCACUAUUCCAAAAUAUAUUUUUUCCCAAAACUUAGAUUUAUCCCUUGUUUGAGCCACAUCGUUUUCAUAAGAUUGCAUUUUUGAAUAGUAUAUUGAUGGAAAAUGUGUUGUUAAAAAAUAAGAAAAAAUUUGAAUUUACGUGUAAUAUUAUUUUAUUGAAUAUUAUGUGAUUAAAAUGAUGUCAAAUUACUGUUAAAGAAUGUAUUUUUUUUAAAAGAAUAUGGGUCAAAUAGGACCUUGAUAAAGCCCAAACAAGGGCUAUAUAUAAACAAAUAGGAGUAACAUGUAUGUCACCUACUCUCAAAAGUCAGCGAGCUCUUUAAUUUUGAAAUUCAAAAUGUACUACUUAAAAAAUGGGCCCCUCAAUUUUUAAAGAUUCCGAAGGUUUAUGUUAGUCACGGACUCAAAUUGCAUUUUAAACCGACAUUAAUGAUCUUAAAAAUUAUUGACACCAUGUUUUGAGGGAUCGCUUCAUUUCUUGUUCAUGCUAUGAGGAUUUUACGCCUUUAUUGUGAUUGCAAUUAAAGGUCUUGAACUAAUGAGGUGAUUGCUUUCUUAGUCUAGUAACUGAAUUAUCCCAAUUGCAUUUGUGGAUAUUGCGCUUAUCUUUUAAUGAGGUAUUGAGUAAGGUACCCACUAUCCCCAAGCCAUAUUGACUUCUUCAAUUUUUUUGCUUGCUGAAAGGGACAUCUUGUAGUUGCAUCAACAAUGAAAGAUAAGGUUAUAAGAAAUAAACCAAUCAAAGCUCUAUGCUGCGCUUUCAUUGCAUAUAUAUGUUUGUCCAUACAAAAACAUUAAAACGUUUAAACAUACUUUAUGCUUCCUUCAGAUGGUGUUUAAAAUUAAUAAUUAUUUUUUUUAUAAAUUUUUAAAAGCAUACUUUGAUCUGUGAUGAUGUAUAAAAAAGAAUAAAUUGAACGUUAUAAUCCAUGAUCUGGUUCCAAGCAAAUUGAAAGUUCUGGAGUUUCAAAGUGACACCAUGGGAAUUGCAUCUUGAAAGUUGUAGUUUCUAGCUUUUAACUCUCUAUUUAAUAACCUAUUUCAUAUAUAUUUGUGAAUUCGUAUGUUGGUAGCCUUUAAUUACAUUGUAUUUGUGUGUGUGUGUGUUUUUUUUUUUUUUUUUUUUUUUUUUUUUUUUUGAGAAUAGAAUUUUGAUAAUGGAGAUUAUCUAUUUCUCUCUUAACCCAACUUUGUGAAGUAGAAUUUUGCAUUUAAUUGAGUUAUUUAAAUCCCAUCAUUUCCUCCCUCAUCAGUGCCAUACUGUGGACGUUAAUUAAUUUUCCCAGCUCAAGUAUUUUUACUUUUUUAUUAGUGUUUUAAAAAGCGUAAAGAAUGGCUAGACGUGAAGGCCAAUUUUCAAACUUUACAAGCCUAUACAUAAUAAAGUGUUUUCUUAUUUUUAAUAUUAUUUUAAAUUUUUAGUCAUUCUAGAAAUCGUUUAAUAAUUAAAAUAACACAAACCAAACAUCUAGAAUUAUAAAAUACAAUAUUUACUUAAUAAUUCAUGUCAAUCAUACAAUUUCCAAAGGAAAAACUUGAAAUCAAAGUCAAAUAAAAUAUUUUUAAAAAAAGAAAAAAUAAAAAAAAUUAAUAAAGUGUGACUAGGAGCACCUAGUCGCACAUUAAACAGUCAACUCAAUGGUUGACCAUUUAAUUUCAUGCUUGUUGUCUAGGCAUGAUGUUUCGUUCGUACCUUGUGUUUAGGCAGCACCUAUACAGACUUUUUAGAAUACUAAUUUUAUGAAUAAAAGAUGUUCUUGAUUAAACAAUAUUUAAUUCGUAUUAUUUGAUCAUGUAAUUCUGGCCAAUCACAUGUUAUUUGAAGGGAGCCAAAUCAACCUCUUCAUUAGUUUCUAUGAUUUCACUGCCUAACGUCAUAAACAAAAUAAAUUCCAUAAACUAAAUAAAUUUUAAACAUUGAAGACUACUUGCAAGUAUGUAUAUAAAUUCAAGGACAAAACCAGAAUUUUAAAUCCUAUUGGCGCCAUUGUUUUUAUUUAUUGUAUCAUAUCUAAUGUCACUUAAGGUUCUCGAUAUUUUCUCAUUGUGUUAUUUAUGUACCUAAUCUUUUCGUCAAAUAUCUUCAACAUUCCAUUAAAUAGCACAUUUUAACCUUGACGAUGAGUUUUGCCCAAAUGCUUUGUUCCAUUCCGUGUUUUGAAAUGAGAAAAAUAUUUUUUCAUGCUUUUAUAAUUAUUAUUUACUUAAAAAUAUAAUGAGCAAAUAAGUAAAGUUUUACACUCUCCUAAUGACUAAAAUUAUAGCGAAAAAAAUUAGGAACAUAAAUAAUAUAAUAAGCAAAGAUCAAAGACGUUAACUGCAAUUAAAAUAUGAUGCAACAAAUAAAAAUUGUGCUGUAAAUAAAAAUAACUUUAUAUAAUACUUAAAUUUAUGUUGUUAAAUAUGACAAAGAAUAAAAAAUUUAACUGCAAUUUAAAUAUGACGCAACAAACUAAAAUGUGGCGUGAAUAUAAUUAAAUUUAUGUUGUUUAAUUUGUUUCCUACUCUUCACGGAAUCCAUGUUUGGAUAUGAAUAUGUUCAAUAAGUGAAAUCCCUACUAUUUAUUCUAGUCCUUCGGUGAUGGUUGUAUCUUGGAAAUAAUCUGCUACCCUUGGUAGCUAGGAUAAAAUAUGUCCACUGCUGACAUGAUAAUGACGUUGAAUUCUUAAAAAUUGUAGAUUCAACUGCUAACAUGACAACGGUGGCCAACAUAACUCCUAGCCACCAGGGAUAUCAGAUCAUUUCCGAGUUGCAUCUUAACACCAAUAACAAGUGAGACUUUAGUGGAAAACACUCCUAUCCCGUUGUAAUUUAUUCAUUUUUAAUGGAGUUCGUUUAGAUUACGCAACCAAAGCCGAAUAUGGUAAUCUCAACUAAUUCAACCAAUCAAAGGCCUAUACUCCAUUUUAAUGCAUAUAUAUAUGUCUGUCCAUGCAACAACCCAAAAACAAUAAAGCAGACUUUAUGCUGGUCUGUCCAGACGUUCACCAUCAGAUAAUCUUGAGCAUUAAUACUUUGCAGAAUUCUUAAUUUAUGCAGUUUACUUUAUUGAUGGAAAAUUCAUUCCUCAAUCAUGUACUAUCUCGAAGUUGGCUAUGGUCGAACUAACCGAAAAAAGAGACGAAUAAAGUCGAUCUAUUUCAGUGUUAAAAUAAAGCAAUAGCAAGAGCAAAAUUAUUUUCAAACAUACGAUAGUGAGACAUUACUGUCUUAAUUUACACAGAAAAUCAAAGCCCAUUAUCAAAUGUACACAAAGACCUUACAAAACACUGUUUGUUAACCGCAUGAGCUCACAUUAAUUGGAACCUGGUUCCUCAUGCAUGUAGAAAGCUGUUGGAUGGGUGGAUUUUCUUACUUGUACAAGGUUUAGGUUUACCGUCUGUCGUCACUUAUUUUUUGCACUAUGAUGCCUGCAGCCUCGUUUUUUUGUAUAAUUUCCAGCUCCUCCUUUCUCUUCAGUUUCUCCUUCUGGUUUUUCUGCUGCACGUAAACAUGAGCAUAACUUGCUCCUGUAGAAAACAUUGUUAUAGGAAUUAAUAUUUAUUCUCUGAAAUUGUUAAGUGAUUAUGAAGGUGUUUAUAUGGGAUUGAUUCUUGAGGAAUUUAUAGGGCAAGCUAAUGGCUUGGUUAUACAUUAUUAUAUUAAUUAAGGCAGUGUAGCACACGGAUAAACAAGUGCUGGAAUGGUCAUCUUUAGACUUUAAAGGUGGCUAAACCAUUAUCAUAAUAUAAUUGCUGUUAUGAUAAUAGUUAGUGUGCAUAAUGCAUAGUUGGACAUUAAUGGAGUUGGCUGUCAGCCUGCCUUUAGGGUUUAAACAAUAUAGGUAAAGAAUCAGAGGGGUCCACCCAUGCCAAAGCUGGGCUGGCCCACAUAGAUAUAUGGGUCGAGGCAGACCCCAGUUUCUACCUACUAGUAUGAACCGGGGAUCAGUAUUGGUUGGUAUUGGGCAUCUCUCACCCCAAAAACUAGCUCAAGAGUUGAGAUUUUUUCUCACACUUAUAAACUAAAUAUUAAUCUCAUCCACAAUAGAUAUAAGACAACCUCAAAAAUCUCCUCCUCAUACAUCGAGCUUUACGAGAGACCAAACACGUCUCCCCCAUACAUCAGGCUCUACAAGAGACCAAAUCCAUCUCCCUCUCACACAACGAGGCUUGUGGGAGACCAAACCCGUCUCCUCCUCAUACAAACCCGUAUCUCCAUGACUGUUGUUCCAGAGACUUGUUAAUAAACUGGGCUCUGAUACUAGUGUUGGUUGGUAUUUGGCCUCUCUUACCCCAAAAGUUAGCUCAAGAGGUGAGCAUUUCCUUCACACUUAUAAACCGAAUACAAAUCUCAUCCACAAUCGAUGUGGGACAACCUCAACAAUCUUUUCCUCACACAUCAGGCUUUGUGGGAGACCAAACACGUCUUCCCCCACACAUCGGGCCCUACAAGAGACCAAAUCCGUCUCCCUCUCACACAACGGGACCUGUAGGAAACCAAACGUGUCUACCUCUCACAUAAACCCAUAUCUCCGUGACUGUUGGGGGAGAGACUUGCUAAUAAACUGAGCUCUGAUAGGAGUGUUGAGUAAUAUUGGACCUCUCUCAUCCCAAAAUUUAGUUCAAAAUGUAAGACUUUCCCUUACACUUAUAAACUGAAUACCAACUCCAUCCACAAUUGAUGUGGGACAAUCUCAACAAUCAGAACAAUGACCUUUUCAAACUCGGAACCAUCAUUAACCUAAUAAAGGCACGAGAUCAAUUAAUGUGUUUUUGAAGAAUGCUUAAUACAUAGUUGGACGGAUUAAUCUUUUUGUACAAAGGAUCCUGUAAAAUAUAAUUAUAGGUGCUGGUCUCGAUUAUUUUUUUUAUUUUUUUUGGGUCAAUACCCAAUGAAAAAUUGUCAAGCAUCUCAUGUUGGGAAAAUAAAUGAUAUGUGUGUAGAUAUUCAUCAACUAAUAAAUAUAAAUAACGUAAUUUAAUAAUUGCAUAAACAUCAUAAUAUGAUAACAUUAUAAUUCAACAAUAAGAAAGUAAGAGUUAGAAAUGCAAACAUCAGGGAGUCAUGUCGAAGACGCUAUCCUAAAGUCGUGUGCCUCCUUUUCGUGUGGAUACUUUCAGCUCUACACAACUCCAAUAUAAAACUCACAUGACUCAUAGUCUAUUCUCCUUUUAUGAGCAUGACCAUAGGAAGAUGAGUGAAUAAACAUUUAACAAGUUGUCAAAAAUAUAGAAAUAUAGCAUGAAUUGUAUAAAAUAUUUAUCUUCCAAGUUGUGUUUUACACAAUGAAAACAAUUCAUUUUUACAGGGACAAAUUCCAACCACCACAAUUAAUCUAAUAUUAUAAAUUUUAAAUUUUUUAAUUAAAUCUGCAAAAUUAAAAGAAAUUUGAAAAUUAAUAGGUUUUAAUUUUGAAAGGUUGAAACUUAUUUUAUGUUACAACAAUCCCCCACAAAUUUUAAACUUUUAAAUAGAUAAAUAUAUAUAAUAAUGACAACGUUAUACUGUAUAAUAGGUGUAAGUAUUCUUUGGGCUUAAACUUUACUUAGCGAUAACAAUUUCAUUUGAGGGGGUCAUGAUGGACUAAGCCUUGAAUUAGAUCAAUUUCACCAAACUUCAAUCGUUCUACAUACAAUAUCGAUUUAGGCUUUAGUUUAUAGCGGAUAAUGAUCAUAACGAUCAUGCACUCUAAUCUUGAUUCUAAUAAGAGUCUCUAGGGAAUAGUUCAAUUCCAUAGUCACGACCACAUAGCAAUUCCUACAUAGGUAAGUCCUUGAAGGGUGCAUGUGACUGUUCACAAAAUUAUUUUUUUGAUUUAAAACUACCGCAAGUGUACGGUUCAUUAACAAGUAAUAAAGUAGAUUAAAUGAGUCUGAAUAUCGUCCCACAGAGAUUGAUUAGUUCAAAUUUACCUAUCGUCGCCUUAACCGAAACUAAAUUACUAAAGUGGAUGUGAACCUAAGUAAAACCCUAAUUUUGGAAAGAAAACCCUAAUUAUGCAAUUUUUAUGAUUGACUUAAAUUAAAUAGGCAAAACAAUAUUUUUUUAACACUCUAGAAUGAAAUCAAAUGUUGAGAACGCACAUUUGUUGUAAUCAAUAGAAAUUAAACACAUUAGGAUCACAAUUUCCCAUGCAAUUAUCACUUUAAAAUCCUAGUUUCACAAUAUGACAACACACUUCAAUCGUUGACAAAUCAAUGUUCCUAAGUCUAUUCAAUACUCUCUCUCGAGAUGUAUCGAACCUAUUUUUACAUACCACCGGCCUAUAUCUCUAUAACAAGUGCAUAUGUAAAAAUGCAUGCGAUUUUAUGAACCUUGAAGAUUCACGUAGGGUAUAGUGGUAUAUUUCUAUCCUAUAUCGAAUCCUACGAUGAUUUAUAUUAUGUCGAACUUAUUGCAAUUCUCUCGAAUGCAAGAAUAAAUCACUCAAACUCACACAAUUACGGGCCCUUAAUUACGGAAAAAAUAAUUGCAUAUAAAUCAUUCAAAACAAUAGAAAUAUGUCUUAAUGUCAAAUUGCAAAACUAGAAUAUUAAAGAUCAAAUUACAUGGUACAUCGAUCUCCUAGCACAUGAAAAAUCUAACCUAACAUGCUAAAAAGAAGAAAAUACAAAAAUAGUUGAAGAAAUGUCAUCGCCCGAAUCAAGUUUCAAUCAAUUCUUUAAUUGGCACAAUUUUUCCUCUUGAACGGCGUCCUCUUCGUUCUGGUCGAGUUUUUGUCUAUAUAGGACUCUAAAAAUCUUGUUUCCAUAAGAGCUUCAGUGAAAUAAGGAAACUGCAGAAUCGGCCUCCGAAUUGUUCUAUGCAACCGCAUAAUACAUUUCUAUGCGAUAGCAUAGAUUUGAGAAUAAUUUCUCGGGAUGCCUUUAUGCUACCGCAUAGGAGUUUCUACCAUGCGACCGCAUAGAUAUGUCAUUCUUUUCAUCGGACAACUUUUAGUAUUUUGGUCAUAACUUUCUCUCAUAAUCUCCAAUUGAAGUGAUUAAAAGUGCACUGGGAAGAAAACUCAAAGAUCUACACUUUUGAUAGAUAUAGGAUUUCUCAAAUUCUGAUGUUUACUAUGUCAAAAAUGGAUCUCAAGUAGAGACUAAAAAUCAUGAACAUAAGCUUUUUCGCCUGAAAGUUGAUACUUGCUAAUACUUCGACCGUAUUUCACCUCUUUGACUCCUUUCCUCAUCUGAUUGUCCUCUAACACUCUUGAAUCUUCAUUCCAUUUUCCGUCUUAUCUAUGUAUUAUUUGCAACUCGAUCCCCGAACUUUCAGUUUCUUCAACUUUAGUCCGUUUUUGCUUGUUUCUUUUAUUUGUGUCAUCUCAUAAUAUCACCAAAUCGGUACUUAGCUCAUUCACUUCCUUGAUUUGUCCUUCAGACCAUCUUUUGGAUAAUUGCACUUUGGUCCCUGAACUAUCACUUUGCUUCAUUUUAGUCCUUCUUUGGCUUUUUUUCUCCUGAAUUCCACAAUUUCCAUAGAAACACAUACAUUGCAUGAAUUCAAUAAGAUUAAGUCACAAUUUAAACAUUUUAUUCGUAAUUAAGUCAUGUUUGUGAUCUAAAUAAGUGUGCAAAAAUACAUUUAUCAGUGACCCACACCUUGCGAGAAUUUUCCCAUUGAUGCUCAUUCAGAUAUAAAACCUUUCUAAUAUCACAUUUAUUAGCACUAUCAUCAUAGAGAUGAGUACAAAUAAAAUAGUGUUAUUACAAGUCACACAGUGCGGAUUGUUUCUGCCACAUUGAAUCUUUUUCAUGGGAUCUCCAAUCAUAAAGAUUGGGUUACUUGCGGAGGUAACUCCCAUAUGUACUUAAGUCCAUCCUCCUCGGUGAUUUAUGUAUGUCCACCUUGGACUACAUUUAUUCACAUCCCUCUUGAAUAAUAAAUUGGUUUGCAAAGUUUUAUUCUUUACUUGACAUUUAUUUGCAAAAUUUUCUAAAUUUUCUAAAUUUUCUAAAAUAUCAAUAACACAUUUAAUUAUAAUACGAUAAAAAUAUGAAAUUUAGAAAUUGACUUCUAGUAAUAUGUUUGAGCAGAUGCAUCCAUUGAACUCUUACAUUUCACUUGCAUGUCUUCUAGUAAUAUGAAAUUUAGAUUUUGACUUCUAAUAUUAAUCUUUGUAGUUGACUAAAACUGACCACCAAUGUAUUUACUACUCACACACAGACAUCGUAUUUUAUUAAUUACCAUAUUACAAAAUUUCCAACACUAACCAAUUUACUGCAAUUCUCAUUGGAUGCAAAAGUACCAAUUUCUUUAACAUUUAUUUAUUCUUCAACUUCAUUUUGAAGAAAAUAGUUAACCAAUUUAUUCUUCAAAUUGAAAACAAGAUACUUAAUUGAUACUCAUAUUAACAAAGUAAACCAAAUAUAUUUAACGAAUCACAAAAUUUGUGUUGGAAAACUAUUAACAUAUAUUAUGAAUAGUAUAAGAACUUACGUAAACACAUUUUAAUUGGUAUAUUGGUUAUCUUUAUAUUAAAUGGGAGCCCAUGUUUUUCUAAUUGGUCCAAACCAAUAAUAUGCACAAUAGAAUCUUUUGUUACUAAAUUCAAUAAGCAAUGUUAAUUUAUAAAACCCAUCACCAAUAAUUGGCAUUAACAAUAUCACAUUAUAUAACUCUAUUUAAGCUAUUGUUCCUUUUAAUUUUUCAUGUCAUUUGAUUACCAUAGAUAUUAAGAAAUAUAGAGAACAUGAAUCCAUAGCAUAUAGAUAAAUAGAGGUACUAUAACUCCAUAGCACAUAUGCGUGCUACAUCUCCUGCAUGUACAAAAUAACAACCAAAUUCCAAAAUAAACUCAACUGCAUUAGAAAAUAUUAAUAGAAUUUCUGAAUAUAUUAAUUAUAGUUCAGCCACGAAAUUUCUAAUAAAUUGAGCUCAUAAUAAUGUUAUGUUUCCUAGGAAUUAAAGUUCUUAGUUAUUGUCUUAAAAAUGUUUUAGCCUAGGGCUAAGCAAACAUAUUGUACAUAUUCUUUAGAAUCCAAAAAUCGAAUAAAUUAUUAUUUUUAUUACUGACUAAGCAAUAUUUUCUCUAAAUUUCUAACCCACUCAUUGAUUAAUUAGAGUAAUCAAUUGAAACGGAAUACCGGCCAAGUUUAAAUCAUUUAUGUUAGGAAAAUGUGUAAUUGGCAAUCUGUGACCAAAGGACCUAUUUGUCAAAAUUGUAAAGUCAAGGACUAAAUUGUACAGGUCAAAUAGUUUAGGGACUAAAGUUGCAAUUUAGUAAAGGUCAUAGCAUAGGUCUAGGGUAAAGUGGGAUGCUUUGAAGAUGCAAGUGGCGCGUUGAUGUCGCUGGAGUUUCGGCCUGACCUUGCUAGAGCCAAAAUUGCAGAACUGACCUCGCUGGAGUUUCGCUGGUCUAUCACCUGAGCGAAUGUACGUCGCUUGAGUUUCGCCAGGACCUCGCUCGAUCGACUGUGUUAUUUGGCCUUUGGUAAUUUUAAUGCCUUGUGAAUUUUUAACGCUCUAUAUUACCAAAUUCGACCUACUCUAUAAACAAAACGUCCGAUUUUCUUACGUGACCUUUGGCAAACAUUAAAACAACAAUUUCUCUCAACUUCCAAAGGAUAAAGAGCCAAAAUAACUUCAUGCUUUUCAUCUUUGAUUCUCAUGGUUCUUUGAAUAAAAACAUCAACCCUCACAAAACCAAAACACCCUUUCAUAUCUCCAUAUAAACUUCCAGAAGAUCAUCUGUUUGAAGAUCCGGGAAGGAAAUUACUUGAAGAGCUGGAGUGCUUGGUGAUUCACAGGAGGUAGAAGAUAUUCAAAGCUGGGAUUUUGGCGCAGAUCUGCAAAAUCCAGGAUAGCUGUGGUCGAUACAGUAAGGAAGUCAGAAUAUUGUUAGAAUCAAUAAUGUCUGACGUACUCUACGUCAAUAUCUUUUAUAGUGGAUCUCUACUAGUUUGUGCCCGGAGUUUUUACCCAGUUGGGUUUUCUCCGUCAAUAUUUUGUUGUGUUUUUUACUGCUUUCUGUUAUUUAUUUUUCAACUGGUAAUUCAACUUAGGUAGAUGAAGUAUGUGAAUGAAUCUAGGCAAUGCAUAAUUGAUGUGACUUGUUGCAUCAGUUAAUUAAUUGUUUUAAUUCCGCAUAAACACCUAUUCACCCCCCUCCCCCUCUAGGUGUUGGUUGGGUCGAACUAUUGCUUUUUCAAUUUAGAAUAGAAAAGGAUCAUUCAACUGGAUCUUUUCCACUUUCAAGAUCAUAGAAAUAUUUGUACACACUCAUUCAACACUAUGGCAACAGAAUUUGAAGAUCUUAACAAUUUCUUUGUUAAAAGAUGAACAAAAUGUUAAUGUUUCAAUAUUAAGAAAAAUAGGAUGAGAACACUUCAACAACAGAUACUUUAACUAUGACAAAAUUGGCAAAAUGAGAUCAUAUAUCUAGUUGAUAAACACAGCACAAUAAAUCAAACUGAAGCAACAAACCCAACACUACCAAAUACCCAAAAACCUCAAGGAAAAAAAGCAACUAUAACAAAAUUAAACUUUUAUUCACUAUUCUUUACUAGAUCUUUUGAAAUAUCUAAAGCAAUUGGGUCCUUGUUUGUUAACUAUCACAUGUCAGGUUAAUAAUGGUCUAACCUCUUUUAACUUCUUGUUCUAAAAUUACAUCACUCAGUCACUCUUGUGAACGGACACUUGAUGUAAAAUGAUCCUUCUCAGAUAAUGAUUAAUGAAGAUGAUACCUUGGCAUGAAAACUUAUACCUUCAUGAACUUCAUUUUGCACUACCCUCAAUAAGUUGCUCUUUACUAAUUAUCAGUCCCUCUUAAUGUCAAUUUCAUCAUUUUGCAUUGAUUCUCAAUUCAUGGCAUUUUAUUAAAGAUUCAUUUAAUUUCAUCAACGUAGUUUAUAGAAUGUUUGACCCCUCAUAAACAAAUUGCAUAGUAUUUGGGAAUAGUUUAUUUACACACAAAUCAUGCCAAUACGACUUUAGAUUCUUGGAAAAAUGAGUGAUUUGUGUUUAUAUACUUGUCAACUAAUAAAUAUAAAAAACAUAAUUCAAUAAUUGCAUAAACAUAAUAAUAUGAUAACAUUAUAAUUCAAUGAUAUAUAAGAAGAGAAGAGUUAGAAGUGCAAGUAUUAGAAAGUCACGUCAAGAACACUAUCCUAAAGUCAUGUUGCCUCAUCUUCGCGUAAAUACUUUCGAUUUUACACGGCUUCAAGAUAAAAGACAAGUGAUUCACAGUCAAUUAUCUUUCUAUGAACACGACCAUAGGAAGAUAAGUAAAUGAACUUUUAUCAAGUAGCCACAAAUAUAAAAAUAUAUUAUGAAUUGCGUAAAAUGUUUAUCUUCCAAGCCGUGUUUUACCCAAUGAAAACAAUUCCCUUUUAUAGGGUCCAACCCCCACAAUUAAUCUAAUAUUAUGAGUUCUAAAUUUUUGUAAUUAAACCCGAAAAUUAAUAGGUUUUAAUUUUGAAAUGUUGAAACUUUAUGUUACAACAUCUCCCUAUGAAACUUCCUUGUAGACCUAGCAUUUCUCUAGUUGGACAUUAUGGGAUUUAGCUGUCAGCAUUAUUUGAAGGUUUAAACAACAUCGUGUGUGUGUGUGUGUUGAACUACAGAUGUAGUGUUAGGCAAUUUUGUUGUCAAACGACCUCCCCGGGCGAUGAUGUUACCUCGGUUGUUUAUUAUCAAUCGGCCUCGACCUAAUGAUUGAUUAGUACAUCGACACAAUUAUCGAGACAACACAAUCCACUUUGUUAUGGACCGUUCGAAGUAACCUAUUUUAUAGUGUUGCUCACGGUUCCCGCACCAUUCCUUGGAAGGCUAUAUUAUUAUUGUUGAAGCCCACUUAUUUGAGUCGAGCCUUGUUUGUUGAUCCACCACUUAACCCUAAUUGUAACUUACCUAUUUUGGACAAUAUACUUGGCAUAUAAUCCCUUCACUUUCUCGGCCUCCAUUAGAGUGAAAUUUUCCCCUCUUUGUGAGUCUCUCUCUCUCUCGGCCUCUCCCUUUCCCUUUCACUGUGACCUUGGUGGUUAACCUACUGUGGGAAUAUUAUUGGGCUUCUCCUUCCCAAUUGAUAGCAACCGGACCGGUGGCGGCAUAGGGUGGUGUUGGAGUUGUCUCAAGGUGUUGGUGUCGAUGUUGUGGUAAACUGAGCCCGGUUUUGCACGUGGUGGCUGUGGAAUUCAUCCCUACAUGUAGCUAUGUCCAAUAAAUCCUCUCCCUUAUAUUAUGAAACUGUGAUGUUUACAAAUACUAUAAGAUGAGAAAGGUAAAUUCUGUCCACAGAGAAAGAUUUUAUUAAUAUUGGGUCUUUUCUGGUAGUGUUUCAAAAUUUACAGAAUUGAAUAUUCAGAUAGGAUUAAUACAAAGAGUGGUCAGCUACAUACAUGUUACCUGUUGUCAAAAUGAGCUCCUUUCUUCUGAAUUGCUGUAUUUCGUAUAGAAAAUUGACAAAUUUCUAUUCAUUGUUAUUUGGUGACUAAAUUCACAAUAAUUUGAAUUUAGAUUUACUGUCUUAUGUUCACUGUACCAUGUUAAUUCUGUAGGAUUUACCAUGGAGAUUCUCAUUUUGAAGCUAAAAUAAGCUCAUUGCUAUUGUACUUUCAGGUUAAAAUGUUCCAACAGUAAAUUAUCUUCAUUUUGUGUACCAAAAUCUUAAAUGAACCCAACUUUAUAUUAAAAUCAUAUAUGAACUUACAGAUUAGUAACACACCCAUACAAGAAAGGUUCUACAAGAAAUAACUUUAUAUUAAAAUCAUAUAUGGCCUUGGUAAUGUAGCAAGGUUCUACAAGAAAUAACUUUCAUCAGUAACUAAAGGAAUAAUCCAUGUGGCAAACGGAGUGCCCACGUGGCAAUGAGAGGUAAACUUUUGGCAAGUUAUUACGUACGUAAUGGUACUCCCUAUAUCAAAAUCAUACAUGAACUUUUACAUGUACCAAAAUCAUACAUGGAUUCACAAAUUUGUAUCUAUAAAGGAAUUAUAUUCCCUUUGUCAAAACUAACGGAACAAUUCACGUGACAAAGGAUGUACCAGAAAAUAUAAGACAUUUUCUUCAUUUCUUUUUAUUCUGUUGUUAUGGCAUUAACUUUAGAAUACUCAAUAAACUCCAAAAUGGUUGGAUACAAAAACUAAAAUAUGUGCCUUACAAAUGUUUCAAUUAAAUAAGAAACUCACUUCUAUUACCACUUACUCUAGACUAGUGAGAAGUGAAGCUUGCUUUUUGUUUUUUGCUUAUAUACUCUCGUGUUUCAAGAACACCGAAAAAGACUAAUUCAACUCUACGUAAAAUAAAAAUUUUAGGACAUAGGGUACCUUCAUAAUUGUCCAAAUUCUCGUUUUUCCUUGAAUGUUCUCUAUCCAUCAAAAAUCAUCUUAUCAAACAUUCGUAUAAAUUGUUAAGCGACGAGUGUCUAGAAUGAGUUUCUCAUUCAAUUGAAGUUUUUGGAAGGCAAGUCUUUUAAUUUUUGAAUCCAAGCAUUCGGAAUUUGUUGAGUAUUCUAAAAUCAUGUCAUAAAUAAUACAAUAAGAAUAAAUGAAAACAAAAUAUUAUUCCAUUAAUUUUGACAAACGCAAGUUAAUUCGUGUAUGUUUGGGAUACAAAUUUGUGAGUCGAUGUAUGAUAUAUCGAUCAGUUCAUGUAAGAUUUUGAUGCGAAGGGUAAAGUUCAUGUACCAAGUGUAUGUUGUCACAUAGAAACUAUUUUUCAGGUGGAUUAUUCCAUUAAUUUUUACUAAUAGAAGUUAAUUCAUUUAUGAAUGAAAUAUAAAUUUGAAAAUUCGCGUAUUGUUUAAAUGCAGAUUGAAUUCGUCUAUGAAUUUGAUACAUGCAGUAAAUUUCAUUUAAAUUUCAUGCAUUUAACCUUUUUUUCUGUUCCUAUGAUAUUGAGUUUAUUGUUCUCAAAAGUCUUUAUUGCCUUUCUUCCAUUAUAUCCCAGCAUAACAUUGAAGUUGGUUAUUCAAGUAUGAUUUGACAUGCAUUGGCCCAAAUAAUUAACUAAAUUAUCCCCAUGGUUUUACAAUGUCAAUGGACAAUGCGUCAACAACAAAGUACGUUAAACUAAACAAUAAUUAAGGGGAAAAAAAGGGUUAAAUUGUGAUCGUUGUACUAUAAAAAUCCUAAAACUGUGCACAACCUAUUUACUUCAACUUUUCCACUUGCUGAAAAUGGCAUUUUUUUAGUUCCACCAACAAUUGAAAAAUAGGGUUCUUAAAACAACAACCAAUGAAGAACUAUUCUUCACUUUAAAUGGUAUCCAUGCAACAACAAUAUAGUAGACUAUGAUGGUAGGUCCUAUCCAUCAGAUAGUGUUAAAAAAUUAAUACUUAGUCCUGAUGUCUACCAUUAAAGUAGGAAAAUGAUAUUUGGAAUAAUGAAUUUUUAGAGAAUGUGUGGUUAAAAAAUAAAAAAUAUUGGAAAAAGAAGUUUUAAAUUUUCGUGCAAAAUAUUUUAUUGUGAAAAUUUGUAGUUGAAAAUAAGUUUUAAAAAAAAUGUUUUAGAAUAAUGGUAGAUAAACAGGCUUAAUCAAAACCUUAAAUUAUGUAUAACUGAUACGGACAAGUAGUUAGUCCACAGUCACUAUCUUGAAGUUGGUCUAUGAUCAGCGGAUUGCUGUCAAGAGGUUAUAGAGAAACAAGUAUGCUACAUGUACAUUCUCCUUUACAUUAAGUUUGACACUCUUUUACAUGGUAUCCAUUAAGUCCAUUGAUUUCUACAGCACCCUAUCACAUUACUGCCCAGAUUUUGACGUAUAGGGCUCACAUGUUAAUGAAAUAAUUAAAACUAUUAGAUAAGAAACCUAUAUAAGUAUUAAAUUUAGACCUCAACGUUGCGUCACGACUCACAAGCAAGCAAUCUUAAUUAGAUUACAAAGAGUGAGAAUAAGCAAAAUUGUAGCAAGAGUGAAAUCAUUUUCGUUAUUUAGACAGCGACACUUUAAAGUCUCAAUUUUGCACAAAAAUUAAAGACCAUUUUUACAUGUAUGUCUUGAAGAUAAGAUUUAGAUAAUAUAAUUAUGACUCUCUCUAACACAUUAAGCUUUUAAAGAAAGUAGUACACGAUGGAUUUUCUUGUUUCCGCCUACAGCUCUAUUUUCAUCGCCGUUUAGUUUUUCUACCAUGAAGCCUUGAUUUUUUGCCCUAAUUUCGUGUUCCUCCCUUCUCCUCCGUUUUUUCUUCUGGGUGGUUUUAGCUGCACAUAAGCAUGAGCGUAUAUAACUGUUGAAAAUUUUGCCAAAAUAUCUAAUAAUUGAAAAACAAAGAAAAUUUGGAAGAAUAUUGCAAUUGUCAAUUACAUAUUGACAUGGUUUGCUCAUGUAUUUGGUAAGUGCAAGGUAGGAAGAAUUGUAAGCUUAGCAUCCUAACUUUUCUAGUUCUCUUUGUAGUAGAAUUGGUAGGCAGUGUAAUGCUUAGCUAAUCUGUUUCUUAUGAUACUUAGAGGGUUUGGUUCGAUCAGAAAUUUUAUAGUCUGUCGUUCUUCAUACAUUCUGUUUUUGUCUCGUUAUUUUUUCUCUAAAUAAAGAUCUCGCGGGAAAAGGAAGGAAGUGAUCUAAAUUCCUAACAAUAACUUAGAAGACAUUAUUGCAGAAAUUAAAAUUGUUAAGGAAUAAAUGAAGGUGUUUGUUUAUAGGAAAAAGCUGAAGAAACAGGCUCAAUGAUAGGGCACUUUCAGGGACUGACUUGGCAGUUUUUGUUGAAAUUUUUUUAACUGUCAAUGAAAAUAUGUCAAGUGUAUGUCUGUGAAAAACCCUAUCAUUGAACCUGUUUUUCUAGCAGAACUCUUGUUUAUAUGGGAUUGGAAGGAUCUAUGGCGCAAAUAAUCAUUAGUUUUGGUCUAAUGGCUGAUGAUAUUGUUAAUUAUAUGAAAGGCAGUUAAGCACAUAGAUAAAUGACAAGUGAUGAGAUAUGCAUAAUGAUAAUAAUGAUGAUCUUUGAACGUGGCUAAACCAUUAUCAUCAUAAAAAGUUUGCCUGUAUGAUAUUAGGAAGAGUGCUUAAUGCCUAACUGGGCAUUAAUGGAAUUAUCUGUCAGCUUUAUUUUAAGGUUUAAACAAUAUAGAUGGUAAAGAAUUAGAGGUUCAAUAAGGCCAGUCUGUCCAGACCUAGUUGGCAUGGCCCACAUACACAGGCGGGUCAAGAUGGACCCUGGUUGCAAACCAUCAGCCUCAACGGGUCAGCACAUAAUAUCAUUUUGAAUCUCGGAGUGAAAAAGAUGUACGAUACUAUAGAAACAAAGACGAGUAACAUGUAAAUAUGUUACUUACUCUUAAAUUCAAAACGAACUCCUUUGUAAUUGUUCAUUGAACUAUUCUAUUAGUCAUUGACUCAAGUUCCGUUAUUGUUGGAAUUUUGUAUCUAAAAUUGGUUGUGACCAAUUUUACAUAAUUAUUUAAGUGGAAUUCUUAAUUUGGUGAAUGAGAUAUUAAGCAAAAUGUAAAGCCGCUUAAUACUUGAAAUUAUUGAAAAUUGUAUAGAAUAUUGUGGAAUAUUCUAGAAAUAUAUGGAUGAAAAUAUGUGUCUUUUCAUAUGGAGGAUCAUGACUCUUGGUAUAUGUAUGAUUAAUUUUCAAUAAUUAUAAAUUUGAAGAGAUGUAACUCUUGGUAUGGUUGUGUCUUUUGACAUACCUUUCCAACUACUAUAUAUAGACUCCAUAUGUUUGAAUUUUAUCAUUCAAGAAAUUCAAGAAAAGUCAUAGAUACCAUAUCAUUCCAUUCCAAUUUACACUUUGAUUUUGCAUAAAACAUUUGCAUCAAAAUCAUGGUCAUGGUCAUGGUAGAGAGGGAAUUCCGUUCGAGUUCGCUGAUCGAAGUCAUUUGGAGUGCUCCUAUGGCUCGAUGUGAUCGUUGUAUCUUGGGAGAUGAUUUCCGGAGAAUCGUUAGCACUGAUGCGGGCAAAUUCAUGUUAAGGACAAAGUGUCCAACACUUGCCUUGGUCAAAAAUCCGUCAUUUGCAUCUUCUUUCUUCAUUUCCUUAUUCCUUUUUAUUAUGAUUUAAUUUUAGAAAAUGAUUAACGUUAUUUAUAUGUUUAUCCUGUAAGGUUUGAUCCAAAGAAUUACUUUCUUUCAAUCAUGAGUUGAAAGGGAAGAAUUCAUAUUCAUGUAUUCGGAUUCGAUAAAUUCUUAUUUUGUCUUCUCAAAUCCUAUCUCGGUAAGUCGAAAUUAUAUUUCGAUUUCACGCUAAUUAAUAGUAUCUUUUUAUGAAUAUAUUAUGCACAAUUAUCGAUAUAAUUUUUCAACAAUCUUAAGAUGAAUUUUGUGUUGUUGUGCAUAAAAUAUUCUGUUAGAAAUUGAGAUAUAUAUAUAUAUAUAUAUAUAUAUAUAUAUAUAUAUAUAUAUAUAUAUCCGUAUCAUGUAUUGGAAUUUAUGCAUGUUCGACUAGCAUUGUGCACUGCAUCAUUUUAAACUGUUGUAAUCUGGACCGGCUGGUCGGUUAUAUCUCUUAACAAUGUGCUGUGACCUUUAACUCAAUGAGUAUUUUGUGAAUCAGGAAUUUUGAUUGGGCCUUGUGCAAAACUCAAUAUUCUGUCCAUAAGUCUCUAAUUGCACAUCCUUUUGUUUUACGUUCGAGAAUUUGAUAAGUUACGUAUUCAAAUAAACGAAAUUUAUUUGGGAUGAAAAUAGUUUAUUAUAAUGCAUCUUACGGGUUGUCUCCUCCAAUUCUAAUUUCGCAUGUGAACCGAUGCCUGUUGAGUUCCGAAAAAAUCAUUAAGUUGUGAACUUAAUCAUGUUGUAACUACCGACUAUUGUAUUAUGUCGUCCAUUUAUUUAUAAUAUGAUGGAAAGUAAAUUAUUGCAUUGGAAAUCUAUGGAAAGAUGUAAAUAAAUUAUAAAAUACAUGGCUGUCGUCUGUUCCUAAUUACACUCCAUGUGCCAAUCGUAUAUUUGCAUAAGUCUUUGCAUGGUUGGAAUAAUUGCAUGCAAAAUAAUUUAGAUUUGAAAUUAGGUUUAGAAAAUGUUGGAUAUAUGUUGUUUCAAAGGCAAUAAACCUGUGCGUGGAAUGAAGAAGAGAACUGAAAAUCCAUAAAAAAAUGUUUUUGCUUUAAAUCCAUUUAUAAUGAAUUUGCUAUUGGAAAUUACCAAAGUCAUAUUUAUUGAUAUUGAUCAUGUCAAUUAAUAAUAAAGAAUUCAGUUUUCUUUUUCGGUUAAUUGGUGGAAGUUUCAAAAGUGAAACGAGAACAUUUAAGUUGGCCAUGAUGACUGUUCAAAUUCGACUUCAGUUUCCUUCAUCUUUCCAUGUAUAGUUUAUCCUUAUGCAUGUGAUGAUUAUUGCUUAAUAUAUAUAAUUUGCAAAGGAAGUCCACUGAUGAGAGAUUCAAAUAAUUAAUGAUUUAUGAGUAAGAGAAUUAAAAUAUGUCUUACAUGUGGGUAUGUAUCACGAGACCACUUUUGCAUUAGGAAGUUGCCUAAUUUUUCUAGUGCUACUGUGAAACAUUCAAAUCUAGAUUUGUGAUGUGGAUAAUAGUCUCUUGAUGUUUCGUGAGUAUGGAAAAUUAUGUCCAUUCAUUUCAUAGCUGCCAAAUACGGUAGGCUUCCAUAUACGGUAGGCUGCUAAAUACGGUAAGUUGUUAAGCUGCCAAAUACGGUAAGCUGUUAUAUAUGGUAGGCUACCAAAUACGGUAAGUUGGUAAGCUUCCAUAUACGGUAAGUCGCAUAUAUAGUAUGCGUCAAUCUGAUAAGUGAAUAAUAUUAUUUGUGAAAUAUCACAAAUGAGAAAGUUACACAUAUUUAAAGAUGCCUAGUCUUCUUCAUUGUUGAAUUUGACUUCAAUCAUAAAACCAAUUAAAUUGGUAUAUGCUUUAAAAGCAUUGUUGGUCUAUGUGAUGACCUUGAAUACUUUGGAUGGUCAAAUUAAUAUGGUUGAUUGAAGUACAAUUUCGAAUAGAAAUUGAUUUUCAUUUAUGUGUAUCAACGACCACUAUUUUGAAAGUACUCGAACUUUCAAAAAGCCCUCGAUCCGGAGGUUAUCUAAGUGAUAAAUGAUUGAACUAUGAAAGAGUUGAUAAGCUCUAAGUUUAAAAAUAACCCAAAAAAUGUUGGGGUUAUCAUAAAUACUUGAGAACUUAUGUAAAAAGUUCAAGACAUGUGGGUGCAAUACUACUACUUGCAUAUAUUUUCUUAAUUUAGGAAUUGUGGGGGGCAACUUAUUGUAAAGAUAUACUUUUCUGUAUCUCUCAAGAAUAUGGAAGAGACUCCAUAUGAGUUAUGGAAAUGUCGUCAUCUUUCCUACCAACACUUAAAAGUGUGGGGGUGUUUGGCAAAGGUUGAGAUUCAUAAGCCUAAACAAACAAAGAUCGGUCUCAAUACGAUUGAUUGCAUAUUUAUUGGAUAUGCCAAUAAUAGUAGUAUUAGAUGUACACGUGGGUACCAUAAUUGAGUCAAGGAAUGCGAUAUUCUUUGAGAAUAUGUUUCCUUACAAUGACAAGGAAAAUGUAAGAAUAUAUGAAACUUCAACUGGGUCUUCAAAUGAGGAAGAACCAAGUCGUAGUAAGAGGGCUAGAACGUCCACUUCAUUUGGUCUGAAUUUUCUCACAUAUAUGUUAGAAAAUUACCCAAAGACUUUUGAAGAAACAAUGUCUAUUCUGGAAGUACUGCAUUAGAAGGAAGCUAUCAAUAGUGAGAUAGAUCCCAUAAUGCAAAUCCAUACAUAGGAAUUGGUAGAUGUACCUCCCGGAAAUAAGCCUUAGGGUAUAAAUGGAUUAAAAUCUGGUUGAUCCAUUGAUAAAUAUAAGGUUAGAUUGGUUGCCAAAGGAUAUAGGCAAGAAGAUGGAUUUGACUUCUUUACCUAUUCACCUGUAACCAGAAUCACUUCGAUAAUGUUACUAAUUGCAACUACGGCUAUACAUAACCUUGAGAUUCACCAAACGGAUGUGAAAACGAGAUUCCUAAAUGGUGAGUUAGAAGAAGAAAUAUACAUAGAGCAACGUAAAGGUGUCUCCAAGUGAAAGCCACAAAGUUUGUAAACUUGUUGAGUCCUUAUAUGGACUGAAACAAGCUCCUGGCACCAAAAGUUUGAUAAAACGAUGUUGUCAACUGAGCUCAAAAUAAAUGAUUGUGACAAGUGUGUAUGCGUGGAAAAUACACCAGAUGCCGAUGUGUUUGUAUGUAGUCAAUAUGUUGAUGAUGGGCAAUACUCACGAAGUGGUGCUAAACGCUAAGAAAAUGCUUACGAAGCAUUACGACAUGAAAGACUUGGUUGUAGCAGAUGUAAUACUAGAGAUAGAAAUCUCUAGAAUAUCGGAAGGAAUUGUACUUUCCCAAUCUCAUUUGUUGAGAAAAUAUUUAAAAAAUUUUGUGUAUUGACACAAGUCUACACUUGGUCAAAAUAAGGGUGAAAGCAUGUCACAACUGAGAUAUUCACAAGUAAUUAGCAUUCUAAUGUAUAUUACGAAAUGCACUCGAUCGGAUAAUGCUUUAGCUGUGAAUAAACUUAGUAGAUUCACGAGUAAUCCAGGCCAUUAUUAUUGGGUGGCAUUGACACGGGUCCUUAGGUAAUUAAUAUAUACCAUGACCUAUGGAUUACAUUUCACAAGAUAUCAUGCGGUAUUGAAAGGAUAUUGUGAUGCGAUGAAAUACACUAAGUCUAAAGUGGAUAAAAUGGGAUGAAAGCCCUAAAGUGAAUGAAAUGGGAUGAAAGCCGAUCAUGACGGUUGUUUGGAUAUACAAGAACAAUUGGAAUAUUUGAGAAUACUCAUAAAGUUCGAAUGCAUUGCAAUGCUUUAAUGAUGAUAUUAAAUACCCAUGUAUGAAAUCCACUAGUAAAUAUGAUUGAUUAGUGUAACGGUUUGUUAGAAAUCCUCCAACAUUGUUGUUUGGAUUGAUAAAGCUUUAGAUAAAACUAAUGAGAAGCAUGUAGUUUCAUGAGAGAAUUUCUUAGUUGGUGAUAAUGUGUAUCUAUCAAAUGAAUCGAUCGUUGGCUAGCUAAAUUUGAAAAGAUAAUAAGUCACAUAUAAUGGUAAGUCUAGACAUGUAUGUCGUAGACAUAAUACCAUAAGCAGUUGAUCUCAUUGGUGUAAACUUGUGGAUCCAUUUAUAUUUGUUUUCCAAGAGAUCAAGUAUACUGCAUAUCGAAGGAAAUGAAAUUAAGCCUACUGAGUAAGAGUCCUUAUGAUGGUAACCCUACCAUGUUGACUGGAGAUCCCAAAAUCUUGGUUCAAAGGGACAACUAAGUUAUGUAGAUUCUAUGAAGCACUUAGGAAACUAAUUUCCUAACUCAUUCCUAUGAUACCAAAGUGCGAGGUUAAGAUAAAAAUUUUAAUGAUUCCUAUAUCUUGAUUAAGUCAAGUGGAGUAUGGUAGAAUACUCUUAAUAGGAGAUCACCUAUGUAAGUGUGAAGUGGGGCUGUUUCAAUGAAAAUUAUUCGAUGCAUGAAUUAUCUAAACACUUACAGAACCAAGAUGGGUUCAGGGCCAAAAUGAACUAAGUCAUGAGAACCAUGAAUGAUUUAUGGGAGACAUUGUGUGAGUACUGUUGUCUUGGUUUAUACUAACGGCUGAUGGUUCAAGAACAUCGCGUUCACCAAUUAGUUAGUAAAUCUGAUGGUAUUUCACUAAGGAAGGUUCAAAACUAGAAGCUACCUUACCUGAUGCAGUGUUUUCCCGCUCUUUCUCUACUAGUGUCUGCAUAGACAUUUACAUUAAUUUUCAUUCAUGUGGGGGAUUGUUGGAAUUUUGUAUCUAAAAUUGUGACCAAUUUUACAUAAUUUUUUAAGUGGAAUUCUUAAUUUGGUGAAUGAGAAAUUAAGCCAAAUAUAAAGCCGCUUAAUACUUGAAAUUAUUGAAAAAUUGUAUAGAAUAUUGUGGAAUAUUCUAGAAAUAUAUGGAUGAAAGUAUGUGUCUUUUCAUAUGGAGGAUCAUGACUCUUGGUAUAUGUAUGAUUAAUUUCCAAUAAUUAUAAAUUUCAAGAGAUGUGACUCUUGGUAUGGUUGUGUCUUUUAAUAUAUCUUUCCAACUACUAUAUAUAGACCUCAUAUGUUUGAAUUUUAUCAUUCAAGAAAUUCAAGAAAAGUCAUAGAUACCAUAUCAUUCCAUUCCAAUUUACACUUUGGUUUUGCAUAAAACAUUUCCAUCAAAGUCAUGGUCAUAGUCAUGGUCAUGGUCAUGGAAGAGAAGGAAUUACGUUCGAGUUCGCUGGUCGAAAUCAUUUGGAGUGCUCCUAUGGCUCGACGUGGUCGUUGUAUCUUGGAAGAUGAUUGCCGGAGAACUGUUAGCACCGAUGCAGAGCAAAUUCAUCUUAAGGACAAAGUGUCCAACAUUUGCCUCGGCCAAAAAUCCAUCAUUUGCAUCUUCUUUCUUCAUUUCCUGAUUCAUUUUUAUUAUGAUUUGAUUUUAGAAAAUGAUUAACGUUAUUUAUAUGUUUAUCCUGCAAGGUUUGAUCCAAAGAAUUACUUGCUUUCGAUCAUGAGUUGAAAGGGAAGAAUUCAUAUUCGAGUAUUCGGAUUCGAUAAAUUCUUAUUUUGUCUUUUCAAAUCCUAUCUCGAUAAGUCGAAAUUAUAUUUCGAUUUCACGCAAAUUAAUAGUAUGUUUUUAUGAAUAUAUUAUGCACAAUUAUCGAUGUAAUUCUCCAACAAUUACAGCCACGUGAACGAGUCUUAAAAGUUAUUGACACUAUUUUGAGGGAUCGCUCCACUUCUCUUUGUGUGUUUCCCACAUUAUUGUGAUGGCAACUAGCGGUCUUGAAAAAUGAGUGAUGAGAGAUUCUCAUUUAGGAGCUCAGUUAUGAGCACACUGAUCAAUUUAUUUAUUUAUUUAUUUUAUUUUUCCAUUUUUGACAUUAAUUACUUUUUCUUCGUCCUUGCUGCCCAGGCUUUGAUAGUUUAGAAUAAUAGUGGAGAAUUUUCAAAAGAAUGUCUUGUGGAUAAUGUUCAUUAAUAAUCCGUUUGGAAAGAUUUUAUAAGCGGCUUAAUUUAGAAAUAAUUAUAAAUGAGUGAUGAAUAAUACUUAGAGGUCCAUUGAAAUGUGUGAUUGAAAAGAAAGUUUGAUUAUUUAUAGAUAAUUUAUAAUUUUUUUCCAAACAGAUUAGAAAUAAGAAAUAAUGUACUAGAUGGUUCACGAAGAUUUUGUACAAGUUUGCCUGCCUGAUCAAAUGCUGCUGAUGGUGAAAUUUUGGCACUUCUGCUUCUAUACAAGCAGAAAAAUUAUUCAACUUUUAUUCUAUUAGUCAUUGACUCAAGUUCUGUUACACCCACGUGAACGAGUCUUGAAAGUUCUCGACAUUCUUUUGAGCGAUCGCUUCACUUCUUUUCUUGGUCAAACCCUCUUUGUGGUCUCUCUCGUUAUUGUGAUGGUAACUAGCAGUCUUGAAAAAUGAGUGAUGAGAGAUUCUCAUUUAGGAGCACAGUAAGCUCAUUGAUCCUUUUUAUUUAUUUAUUUAUUUUCAUUUUUUACGUUAAUUACUUUUCUUUCGUCUUUAUUGCCAAAGCUUUGAUAGGUCUGAAUAACAGUGGUGCAUAUUCUUGGAGAAAUUUUCAAAAGAAUGACUUGUUGACAUUGUUCAUCAGUAAUUCCUUUUGGAAGAAUUUAAUAAUACGGGUUAUUUUGCCUUUAUUGCCGAUGUUAAAAACUAGAUUGAUGAAACAGUUGCUGAAAUUUGAAUUAAAGUUAUGCCAGUUCUCUUUGACCUUCACUCGUUUGUUGAAUAAGUGAAAUUAGGAUUGGCAAUUCAGUUGUACCAAUCUCCAAUGCUCAAAGUUAUUAAACCCUUGCUUGGUUUAAUUAAAAAAAUUGAUUAAAAUUUAAGUCAAAUUCAAACUCAACAAUAAAUUUUAAAGUAAAACCCCUUGUACACCGAUGUAACACUCCCCUCAUAGAGGGGCCCAUGCCCAAUUAAUGCAGACCCCGUCCCCAUGUGAGGGGACUAUAAGGCUCAGUGUACGUGUAACAUUGUUGUAAAUUUUAACCACAUAUUUUAUAGAACCCAUAUUCAAUUACUUUUUAUCUAAAUCUACUAAAAAUCUAAUUUUUUGCUAAACCAAACAAGGUGAACCCCUUCAAGACACAUCUGACAAAUCUGCCAAGACAUUGCUUUCAUGUUAACGCCGAGCAAAUUUCAAUUACAAAAAGCUUCAAAGCUCAUAACAAAUGCGCAUUCAUACAAAGAACAAAAUGGAGCUUAUGUUUAUUUGCCUAUUUUCCAGUCUCUAUACACUUGCAAGAUAUGCUGAGAAUUGUUUCAGCCCUGCAGUGGUUCUAGAUUUUGCUAAAAUGAAAUUGCAUUUAGUUUAGGGUUCCUUGCAUCUAAUUUUGUAACUACUGUCAAUAAAAAGCACGGACAAAAAUGAGAGUUUUAGAAGUAGUGAACGCUAGUAUAUAUUCUGAGAAGCACGGACAAAAUGUAGCUUCCUCUUAAAACUCCUCUACAAGAAGUAAAAGCAGAUACCCUACCAAAUAGGCCCAUAAUCAUUUACUAACCUACACAUGCUAUAUAAUAUAUGUGAUAUAUAGGAAUAUAUACUUAAGUAUGAUAUAUGCACACCAUAUUCAAUUUAUGACUAAUGCAAUCUACAACAUUAAGCCCCUUAUUUGGCUUAGCUGAAAAAUAAAAUACAUGAAAGAAGUUGAUAAAAAUUCUGAGUCCCAUAAAAUGUAUGGUUAAAAUCAAUUGUUAACUUUGAUAUAAUUUUUUAUCAAGUUUGUAGCUUUACCAAAUGGGCGCUAAGACCAGCUUAUAAAACCUACAAGACAAGCAAAGACAAUGCAACUGGCAGUAUGUAAACAAUCUGCAAGUAAACACGCUUCUCCCAAUUAUCUUACCACAGGGAACAAAAGCUUUGAGAAUAAUAUUUUGCGAAUUGAUCAAUGUGCAUCUUAAAUCGAGAAACAAGGAGCACGGCAAAUACAAGUGAUAUGUAGUGAAAAAACUACUAUCAGAUGCUUAUUAUUACUUGAUUGAAUUAUUAGUUGUAUCUAUCUUCCUAUAUGGCAUAACCAAAGGAAAUUAUUUCAGUUAUAUUAUUACUUUUUAAUCGUUCAUACACUAUAAACAUGAUUGAACAUCAGGUGCAUGUUUCCAAUAUGACAAUAAAAAUUUCAGUCUCUAGAUCAAUAGCAUUGACUUAAUGUCUAUGCUUACCAGCCUAUACAAGUGCAGAGACAGUCCAUCUCUAUGUCCUCCAUUCGCUGUUUAAGGUUUUCGAUAUUAUAGAAGCCCAAGUGUUUUAAGCUGCUGAACAUGCUCCGGGGGAAGGGGUGGGGGAGACCAAUCAGAUCCCGUCAUCUCAUUGUCAACAUCCUCCACAACAUAUUCCUGUUUUUGAAACAGGUGCUUUCCCAAUUAAGAUUAUCGAAUUAGAACUUGAAUUGAGAAAGCUAUAAGUAAACAUAACAAAGCAAAUCUCAUUCUUCAGAGUAAAUGUCUACAACUAUACACAUUUCAGAAUAUGUUUUAUUCUUUAUGUUGGCCUGAAAAUUGAUAAACUUCUACAAUACAUGCUGCUUUGGUUCCCUCAUCAGAGCAUGAACCAAUAGAAAGUAGAAACAGUGACUUACAUAUUAAAUCCGCAUUAAGAUGCAUGCAAAUUUAGAUAUAUUCAGGCAUAGAGAAUCUGCCUUUUGAAGCUUCUAUUAAUGAACUCGUGGGAAGAAAGAGACUGGCCAAUCGCCAGUUUUGGGUCACGGCUUCAGGUCUAUAAGGAGAUCCAGAAUUCCAAAUUAAUUUAUUGGGAAUAAGAACUAUGGUAUCACAACCCAAUUCAGUUUGAAAUUACAUCGCAGCCAGUGUCUGUUGUAACAUUACCCAGCAACUUUACAGCUAUAAAUUAGAGGCCUUCAAUUAUUGCACGCACGUGAGAAAGGAUGAUGUCUUAAGAACUUCCAAAGUUUUUCAAAUAUUGUUCAAAGCACUUUCUUUUAAGAAUGUAUCUGGUUCCAUCUUUCUUUUAUUUGUGUAUUUGCUUCGCCUUUGAACAUUAUAGAUUGAAAUCUUCUUCAAACAUGAUGCACAAAUAGAUAGAAUAGCAUCUCAAAUCAGAGGAGUCAAAAAGAUUAUAUCCCCUUAAUUGAUAAGGUGGACUGCAUACUGCAUAGUAGUAAUAAAAUAUUAAGAAAGAAAAGCGGUUCAUAACUAGUGCAUUGUCCAGUCCAAUCUUGUCUUAAAUUGUGUACCCAACAUGCUCUAUCAGUCUUGUCCAAUGUUGUGUACCCAACAUGUUCUAAGAGAUUCCUCAUCAAUCAUCAUACAAUUGGGUAAAAUGAGUUGACAAAUAGUGGCGAGUUUGCACAUCUGAAUAUCAUCGCAAAAAUAGCAGAUUGAAAUAAAUAAUUAUAAUAAGACAAGGAAAAUAUUUUCAGGACAGAAACACAAGAAUGUAAUUCCGACUCACCUUCGUUAGCAUUCGUUUUGCUAGAAUGUGGUAGUGCCGCUGCCAAAUCCUUUGUCCAACCAUGGUUGCCACCAACACGCUGUAGAAUACACCGAUUACAGUAAAUAGUCCCAACAUAAUUAAAGCCAUUAUGAAUAAUAAGGGUAACCCAGCUUCGCCGGCAGCUCCCAGGCAACCACAUUCACCAGCUGCACUAGCACAGCUUUCAAAGCACGUGGUACAGUCGGUCCACAUACAAAGAGUGCCAUGCAAAUGGCAAUCAGCACAC
RNAcentral lists this long non-coding RNA (52491 nucleotides) under Olea europaea (common olive). RNAcentral's name for it is "long non-coding RNA (OEUR_LNC005606)". Lineage: Eukaryota; Viridiplantae; Streptophyta; Magnoliopsida; Lamiales; Oleaceae. The record is from RNAcentral.